ACUGAUCUCGUAAGCACAGGAUAAUCCGGCGGAUCCAGCACCGACAACGACGACGUCGGUCUCGGCGUAAGUGAUCAUAUCAGUCAUGUACCGCCUGGUCAUCUCACGAGAGACGAUCGAUUCCUUUAUGGGAUCGAAAGUGAAGGCGUUUAGAUCGUAGCCAGAAGUGGCGCGAACGGAAAGAGAGGCAGAUCGUGGUUUGAGACCGACGGAGAUAGGUGCGGCCGAGAUUGAUGAGCCAUGGAAGGAGGAGUCGAAAAGCCUUUGAGGCUUGGUGGAAGAGAGAGAGAGAGUGGAAGUAAUGGCCGCCAUUUGAGAGAAAGAGGAAGGUUUUAGUUUCAGGUAUUAGUGAUGAUGAUGGUGAAGUGAAAGUGUGGAGGUUGUUUGAGUAUUUAAAUUAGAAGCAGAGACAGGGAAAAAAAUAUCUGGAGAGUGAUUGCCACGUCGGGAGAUAAGGAACGAAGGGUCAUCAAAUAUUGUUGGUAUUUUCUUUAAAUAUAUAUAUAUAUAUUGUCUAUUUAUUGCGAAAUUUUUUAGAAACAUUGGCAAGCAAUGAUCUCCUUUCUUCACGGUUCUAAUUGAAUGAAAAUGACUUUUGCAAUUUGACAGAAUUAAUAGUUUAACAAUCUUUAAUAUACCUAUAUAUAUCAUUUUCAGUUUUAAAUUAUUUUAAAAUAUUUUUUCUUGUUUAAGACAAUCAAUGUUUACAUAAACAUAUAAAUGGUACAAAUUGGCUAAACCAUAAAAAUUGUUUCGACAUUCAUUUUUGGACGUAUGGCCAAAAAGAGAAAAUAAAUAUACCAUAAAGUCUAUACCAUCAUCAUUAAUUACACGUAUUACUCAAUUUUUUUUUUUUAUCACACACGUAUUACUCAAUUUUAAAAGAAACUUAUCUGAUUUGAUCCGAUUAAGCACACAUCUUUGCUUGUCAGAAAAUAAUAAAUAUUGCCAAUUAGUAUUGUGAACUAUGGAGUUCAUGAAACAUAGAGAUUUUUUUUACAGUCAAAUUCAUCAGUUCGUGGUAAUGAAAUACCUAGAAGGGUUUUGUAUGGAAAAAAAAAAAAUAUAUAUAUAUAUAUAUAUAUAUAUAUAUAACCAUUUGCAAUAAAUGUGUGGUUACACGAACACAAGAAAGUGAAAUAUCUUUGUUCGAUCGAGAUGGCUUUGGACUUUCCUAGUGAAUAAGACAGUUCGUUAUUUAUGGUGCUAAAAAACAAAACAAAAAAAUAAAUAUUAUAUCAAUUUUUAUUUAUUUAUGAAUUAUAUGAUCGACAGGCAUGUUCUUUUUGGUCAUAGAAUCUUUUUUCUUUUGUGGACCAAAAUUAAAUCUGCAAUUCAAUAUCUAAAAUCUGCAUUUCAUAACUUCAGCCUUCAGGUUGUUGGAUGUUUAAUUUAAAAAUCAAAAUAUGUAUAAGUUAAUUGAAUUAUUUUGACAAAGGUCAAGCAGUAUGUCUUUCACUCUCUUUUUUUUUUUGUUUGACAAAGGUCCCAAGCCGUAUGUUUUUUUUUUGGGGGGUAAAAGCCUAUCCCAUUAUUUUGUGGCUGAAAAAAAUAAAGAUACUAUUUUGUGGUGUAAGCAGGUGAAGAAAGUGAACGGAGUGGAAGUGUUGAAUUUGAAGCACCUAUAGAGAAAUGUUAACGUUGCACAAAGUUUUGAGGUUGGACUUAGAUGAUGAACGAGUUGUUGGCUUGAAAACUUUAGAGAUCCAAAAAACCACUUCUUUGAUCUUGGAACGUCAUGGAAUCUGCGAUGUCCAAGGACCUUCAGACUAACAAAAUUUCCAGAAAGAACAAAAAAAAACUAAUUAAUUACUUGAAUAUAUAUCGUCAAUGAGUGAGUUUGGAUUUCAAUUUUUGUUGAUAGAUUUUUUUUCUUUUCCUUAACAUAUAAAGCGACUUAGUCUUAUUAUUAGUAUUUUUUUCCAAUCCAUCACCGCUACUGUUGGUGUCUAGGGAAUUGAGUGUGGCCAGUGGUGGAGGCAUGUAUAAGGAGAUGGGGGCAACUGCCCCUAAUAGAAAAUUUUGAUUAGUGUAAUUGUUAACAAUAAUAAUUACCCCCACACUAUACAAUAUAUAUGCCACCAUUAAAUAUUUUUGCUCUCAAUGGAAAAAAUUUCUGAGAUCAUUUUUUUUUUAGAACAGAAAAAGUAACAAGAAAUCUUGUCUUUUUAAAAAUAAUUAAAGCAGAGACUUAUAGAUUCCAAAAAACACAAAACGUAGUAACGUACCACGGUCCACAUGAACCUGAAACAAAUUUCAAUUCCGUUAUAGACCACAAAACUGAAUCGAAUACACAUCUGUCGGUUCAAUGUAUAUUAAGGUUUGUUGUUGGAAUCCACAAUUUGUAAAAAUACACACUCCAAAACAAAAGAUAGAAAAAAAAAAAAAAACGAAAUCCAAUCGAGCAUGCAUGGUGAUGGUGUUGCAGAUUGGCGAGACUCGUCUCGAUCCCUAACUUGACACAUCAAUGAAGUUUCCAACACCUAAUCCAAACAAAACUCUCAUGCGUGUUAUGUUCCAAGUGAAGACACACCAUCUCAUGCUUAUUACACGUGAGUGCCAUGCAAAACUCCUUCCUCUUCCAUAAAUAGCCCAUCACUCUUCACUUCAUCAUCACUCACACAUAAACCUCAAAUCAUCAAAUACAAUCUUUUCAGCCAUGGCUAAGCUCUUACUCGUUUUCGCAACUCUUGCCCUCUUCGGCCUCUUGGCCAACGCUUCCAUCUACCGCACGAUCGUCGAGUUCGACGAAGAAGAUGACGUCAGCAACCCAAUACGUCCACUACAAGGUAAGUGCCAAAAGGAGUAUAUGCAGCAACAGCAGCUAAGUGCUUGUAGGAAUUGGAUCCAGAAACGAGCUCAACAAGGAAGAAUCGGAUAUGAAGCUGAUGACUUUGAGCUCACUCUUGAUCUUGACGACGAUGAGAACCAAAUACCUCAGCAAAAACCAGCUCUGAAACAAUGUUGUAAUGAGCUACGACAAGUGGACAAGAUGUGUGUGUGUCCUACACUGAGACAGGCGGCUCAACAAGCUAGUUUCCAGGGAAUGCAUGGACCAGGACAGGUGAAACAUAUGUUCCGGAGUGCUAAGAACUUGCCUAAGAUCUGCAACAUCCGUGAAGUUGAAUCGUGCCAGUUCAAGGCAACUCCUUACUAAAGAUCAUGAGGACAAGUUUUUAUAAGGCGUGUGCGUUCACAUGGUGGUUUUGUUAAUGAUAAUAAAAAAGCCUUACUAUUGUGGCGUGUACGUGUUUAUAUCGUAAAAAAUGUUAUGUACUUGUUUGGUUAGAGUUAUAAUGGCAAUAUUACACCUUGUAGUGUAAUGUAAUUUGCCCUACUCCUUCUAAUAAAGAGUUUCUCUUUUGGUAAUGAAAAUCGUUAGCAUCAUGCUCUCUGACUCUCAUUUAUGUGUGUUGUAAUAAAUUAUUGAGAAUUAUGAUAUAAGGCUUGUGUCACGUACAAGAAGAAACCAGUGCAACUAGAACACACAAGGUCUACGAUUUAUAUGUCCACUGGCACUAAUACUAGAAGCUGUGAAAAAAAUUGAUUUAAGUGUUUGAUCCAAACAGUUGUGUUAUGCAAGCGCUUACAAGAGAGACGAGUUUCUUUUAGUCAUAAUUAGAAGGUUUGGAUAUCAUGAAACUGGCCAACUUAAUUAGUCACUGCUAGUAAUAAUAACAUCAUACAAGAAUCAGAAGCUAACCUCGGGGACAAUGAGCUAGGUAAAACAUAGCUUUGAUAUAAGCGGCUUGAAGUUGAAUAUCGCCAAUAAGGUUGUAUUUCAAUUGUUUUUGAUUUUAUUCUUUUUUCAAAACAUAAAAAGUGAGUUAGUUAUUAUCAUUAUCUAUUUUUUUCCGAUCAUUGUGCUUCCUCAACGCUUCUUUGGAGUUUAUGGAAUUGAGUAUGGAUCAUUGAAUUUUGUAAGAAGAGAAAAAUAGUAACAAGAAAUCUAAGUUCUUUUCAAAAUAAUUUAGGCAAAGCAUAUGUUACCUUAGAAAAAACUAGAUUCAAAACCAAAACACAAGCCGUACCAAAUUAAUCCGACGUAAAUUUCAAUUCCAUUAUAGACCAAAAAACGAAUUGAGUAUACAUAUAAUGUAUGAUGUAUAUGUCAGUUCAAUAUUUAUUAAGGGUUGUUGUUGGAAUCCACAAUACACACUCCAAAACAAAACAGAGAAAAAAACAAAGAUGAAUCGAGCAUGCACAUGGUGUUGCACAUGCGGAGACAAGUCUCGAUCAUUCACUUGACACAUGCAUCAUUGAAUUUUCGAACACCUAAUCCAAAUAAAAAUCUAAUGCGUGCUAUGUUCCAAGCGCAAACACACCAUCUCAUGCUUAUUACACGUGAGUGCCAUGCAAAAUUCCUUCCUCUUCCAUAAAUAACCCAUCACUUUGACUUCACUUCACUUCACUUCAUCAUCUCUCACCCAUAAACCUCAAAUCAUCAAAUACUAUCUUUUUUUAGCAAUGGCUAAGCUCAUUCUCCUUCUCGCAACUCUUGCCCUCUUCGUCGAGUUCGACGAAGAAGAUGACGUUAGCCACCCAAUGUGUCCACUGUCCACAGAAAGGUAAGUGUCAGCAACAGAACAUAGGAGCUUGUAAAGAUUGGAUCCAGAAAUGAGCUCAACAAGGAAUAAUCGGAUAUGAAGCUGAUGACUUUGAGAUCACUCUUGAUGUUGAUCUUGAGGACGUUGAAAACCCAAAACCAGUUCUUGAAAGGUGUUGUGAUGAGCUAAGAGGAGUGGAAAAGAUGUGUGUGUGUGUCCUUCACUGAAACAGGCGGCUCAAGAGGUGAAACAUUUGUUCCAGAGUGCUAAGAACUUGCCUGAGAUCUGCAUGAUCCCUGCAGUUGUUCAAGGCUCCUUACUAAAGAUCACGAGGACAAGUUUUUAUAAAGCGUGUGCGUUCACAUGGUGGUUUUGUUGUUGAUAAUUAGAAGUCACACUAUUGUGGCGUGUACGUGAUAUAAAACGUUAUGUACUGUUCGAGUUAAAGUAAUGUAAUCCGACCUGUGUCAUUGAUUGACACCUGGACAUGGUUCUUGCGUACAAAAGAAAAGAAGAAACAGGGGAAGGCUUUGUGUCACGGACAAGAAGAAACCAAUGCAACUAGGACACACAAGUUCUACGAUUAUAUGAGAAGAGAACCACUGGCACUAAUACUAGAAGCUGUGAGAAAAUAAAUGAUAAUAGCGUUUGAUUCAAGAAACUGUUGUGUUAUAUAGAAAACGUUUACAAGAAAGUGCUUUUAUACAUCUUACACCUAAAGAGAAAACGCGUGGAGUUGGCUCCUGAUCUUGAUCUAAUUUUAACUAGACAAGAGUACUUUCUUUUAGUCAAAGUUAGAAAGGUUUGGAUACUCUACAUGCAAAAUCAUGAAACUGACCAACUUUUUGUGUUUGUGUGCUAAUUUGUAAAUAUUCAUUAAUAGUGAAAUGUUUAGGUUACGAAUUGAUUGACCUAAAAAAAAAAAACAUGGAUUGAAUAUCAUGAAACGGACCAAUUAGCCACUGCUAGUAAUAAUUAAUAGCAUCAUACAAGAAUUCAGACGCUAACCUUGGGAAUCACUGAGGUAAAACACAGCUUUGAUACAAGUGUCUUGAAAUUGUGGAAAUCAAACCACAGACAGACAGUUAUGCUUAUUUGGAAUACAUCUAAAACAAAAAUGGAGAAAAUAGCUAGGGACAUAGUGUGAAUAAUUUUUUUAUUUAUUUUUAUUGAAAGACAUGAAGCUCAGCAAAGAGAAUCUUAAAGUGAAAAGCCGGACGAACACUAAAGAAUCAUCAAACAAAAACACCAUUGAACAAGAGUCAUAGAGCUCCUUAGUAGGCCUCACAUGGGCCUAAUCUUUAACUCUAGUUUUCGGGUCAGUUUCUGAGCUAGUGAUUGGUUUACAUGAACCAAUCAAAGUUAUAUUAAACCAACUUGAACCAAAUUAGUUUAUCUGAUAACCAAUAAAAUAAUUUAAAACAAAAAAACAGAAAUCAAAAGUAAAAUACUGUAAUCAAAUACUAUAAAAAAAAAGUAAAAUACUGUAAUCAAAUUCUUAAUCUAAGACUAGCGCACGUCACGGGCAAAUAAAAAAGAAUAACGCACGUCGUACAAAUUUUGGUGGAUUUGAUUGGUUUAGAUGAAUUUUUAUAUAAGCUAAAUUGGUUCAAGCUCAGUUCGUUAAAAUCGACAAUGAAUUGGUGUAAACACAAUAGUAAGUAGAAUAUAAAUCUAAAAAAUUCUAUCCAAACGAGAAUUAAAAUCUAUCGAGCUUCAGUUGAUAUUUAGGUUUGUUUGGUUUGAUUAUUGGUAUAAUAACCAAUUAAACCAGACACUUCACAAUUACUGGUAAUAUACUUUUUAUUUAUUUAAAUAAAUUGGGAAAGAGACGUGGAAGGUGAGUCUCUCUCGCUCUCUCUCUGGUGUAGUAAAUACAAAGACGAUACGUAAAAGAGAUCUCUUUUUUUUUUUUUCAUUUAAAUAAGAAAAGAAAAAUCAUUUAUGAAGUUUGAAACAGCUUUCGUCUCUUAGGUCUUCGCUCUCUUAUCCUAAAAUCUUUCCCCUUUCUUGCUCCUAAACGUUUCCAAAGUCUUAAUCAGAUUCCUGCUUCAGGACACGCUUAAUUCCUCUUUUUUUUUUUUCUGGGUAUUUCAAUUUCAAAUUCUUUCUCAAUUUACCUCCCGAUUCCAUCAAAAACACGAAUUUGUUCAUUCAUUUGUUCGUUUAUUUUUUUCUUUCCGAUUUCUAGGUAUAUAUGAUCAUCUUCUUUAGCGGUUCAGCCUAAGUAUUUUCAGUUUGAUCGCUAAUUCUUUGUUCUGGGUUUUGCAAAUUAUUCAGUUUUUUUUUCCUUUUUGAUCAAAGCUUUGAUUUGUGUUUCGGUGUUUUUCUUGCUUCGUGACAACUUGAAGAAGAAGCAAAAAUUUCCGAGUUUGCGUGUAAUUUGUUUCUAUUUUUAGAUUCCAAUUUCAUUUUUGAUCUUCAGUACGUAAUAAAAUCUCAUAGAAUUUGCUCAAUUUCGGUACUUUUCUUGGGCAUUUUAAAUUGGAAUUAUCCCCUCCCUCUUUCUCGGAGAUUCCAUCGUGAAAGAUUUUCUUGGAAAAAUCUCAGGCGUAGAAACAGAGACUAAGUGAUGAGGAAGAACGGCGACGGUUCUCCGAAGUCGCCGACGACUACGGACGGAGUUGUGUCGCGAUCAGCUCGGAGCUCGUUUCGUGCUUUGUCUAACUGUCUUCGGGUGAUUUCCUCUGGUGCUUCCACGGUUGCUCGCUCCGCCGCAUCCGCCGCUUCUUCCGCCGUUAACCGUGACAUUGACUCUCUUCACGAUCAGGUAAAAAAAGUUGCUUUCAAUUCGGAACAAAAUUGUAUGAAACUAUGUUUAUGUGUUGUGUUGCUUUCUUCGAAAUUGAGGAACUUUCUCUGAAAUUGAGGAACUUUCUCUGCGUUAUUAGUCCAAGUUAGGAACUUGUUAUGAUGGGUCAAAGAAUCUUGCCGGUUCUUGGGGUGAAACUAUGCUUAUGUUUCUCUUCAAGGGACAGUAAUCUUUUGGGGUUUUGCUUCAUUUGGUUGAUGAUACCUUAAAAGAUCGACCUUUAGGUUACUCUAUUGAGAAGUUUUUGGGUGUUUUUGAUGAAAAAAGGUACUAUGGGCGGGGUUUGAUAAGCUAGAGAAAGAUGAUGGCGAUACUCGAAGAGUUCUUCUACUAGCGUUUCAGUCUGGAUUUCAAAUUUGGGAUGUUGAAGAAACAGAGAACGUCCAUGUUAUAGUUUCUUCACAUGAUGGACAAGCAUCGUUUAUGCAAAUGCUGCCUAGCCCAAUAGUCUCUGAAGAUUUAGAUGACAGGUUUUCUGAGAGCCGUCCUCUUGUGGCUGUGUGUGGUGACAGUUCUUGGGAAGAAAGUUCAGACAGACAGAGCAUUUCUAAGAAUGAUAGUCCCGAAAGUGAAGUCGUAGUUUCUACAAAUGUGCAUUUCUACUCGUUAAAGUCUAAGUCUUAUGUGCAUACGUUGAAAUUCCGGUCUAUGAUCUAUACGGUUAGGUGCAGUUCUCGGAUUGUUGCUGUACUACAGGCAUCUCAGGUUCGAAAUUUGUCACAUUGUGUCUGAUUUUGUUAACGUGAUUUGUCUAUUCUGAAACUAACAAUGUGUAACUUAAAAACUUGUAUUUUGCAGAUACAUUGCUUUGACGCUACAACAUUGAUAAAGGAGUACAUGAUUAUCACUAACUCCAUCACGUAUUGCUCCUUGGGUGUUGGAUAUGGUCCUCUUGCAGUUGGUCCACGAUGGAUUGCUUAUAGCGGAAGCCGUAUUGCUGACUCAAGUUCCACACUUUUCACUCCAGAGCUUAUCUCACUGUCAUCAUCACCCUCUGUUGCACAAUUUGCAAGAGACUCGAGCAGGCAGAUCGCUUCUGGGAUCGUGACUCUUGGAGACAGAGGGUACAGGUCAUUGACUAGGUACUGCUCAGAGGUUCUGCCCAAUCCGUAUAUUCCUGGUUUGAAAGCUCUCGGAGUUUCUAAUGACAAUUCGCCAGACGCGGAUAGCAUAGGAAGGGUAUACUCCAAAUUUUCCUCAUGUUGUUUUGCUCUCAAGUUGUGAUUUUCCAUUGAUAUGUGCUUUAAAACGUUUCUAUGGGGUGUGUUGCAGGUGAUAAUCAAAGAUUUUAUAAGCAAAAGCGUCAUAACGCAGUUUAAGGCACACAAGAGUCCGAUUUCAGCUUUGAGCUUUGAUCCAAGCGGCAUGCUUUUGGUGUCUGCUUCGAUUCAGGGACACAAUAUUAACGUCUUUAGAAUAAUGCCAAGAACCUCUGCAAGUAACGAUGGGAACACACAGUCUUUUGUGCAUAUGUUCAGGCUCCAGCGAGGUUUUACUAAUGCGGUAAGCAGAGCCCUUCAUUUACACCUUUUGAGAAAAUCUGACGUCUUUGACUAACCCUGAUGAGAUUUUUUCAGGUGAUACAAGACAUCAGUUUCAGCAAUGAUAGCAAUUUGAUAGUGAUUAGCUCUUCAAGAGGGACAAGCCAUCUGUUUGAGAUUAAUCCCGAGGGAGAGGGGAAUUCUCCGAUUCCUCUAUCAGCGAUUAGUAGGAUAAGAAGUGGAAACAUCAGCGGAUGGAUGGGAACAAUGAGCGGUGCUGCAGCUGCAGCAGCUGGAAUGGUUGGAGGCUCUCUUCCGGGUGCAAUCACAUCAACUUUCUGUUACUGCGUUGAACAGAAUAAGAACAAGAACUAUGGUUCUGCUUCUGAUAAUAGCUCCAAGAGGAAUCUUCUGGUUUUUGCUCCUUCUGGAUGUAUGACACAGUAUGCAUUGAAAGCAAAUCCGGUUGGGGAUGGUCAUGAGACUGCGGUGAUGACAAGGUUUGAUUUUGAGUCAGGUCCAGAGACUGAAGGGAAAGUGGCGGUUGAGCCAAUACGAAGGUGGUCCAUGAUCCAAAACCAGUCUAGAAGAGAGAUGCAAGAUCACCACAGUGACAUAUAUGGAGGUGGAGCAACUUCAUCGGAUUCUAAGAGUAAAGUGUUUCCCGAGAUUGUUAGGAAGCAGAGCGCUGAGGAAUCUUGGAAAGUAAGUAGGAAAGGAAAGGCCCGUGUGGAAGAUAAUCAUCAGUUGUACAUAUCUGAAGCAGAGUUGCAAAUGUAUCACCCAUCUCAGAAACCGUUAUGGGCAAGGCGAAAGGUAAAGUUUACUCUUUGUGUUUGAGAGAAUGAUCUGAAAAGUGGUAAUGGCCGUGUUGUGUGGAUAUGUCUGAUACUUUGUAUUUUGCACAAAACAGUUUAGGUUUCAAGAACUGGUGUUGGAUCUGAAUGAAGUGAGUAGCGGUUGUGGAGGAGGGGAGAUGGAGAUUGAAGAUAUCCAAACUCGAACAAUUGAAGCAAGAACAAGAGAUUUGGUUCCAGUCUGGGGUUCUUCUCCUAGAUCCCAACAAGUGAUGGAACAGUGAGUUUUCGGAAUCUAAUCCAUGCUCUACACUUAAGGUUUUUCUCUCUGGUCUCUGUCACAGUUUCUUGGCACUAAUAUUAUUAUGUCACAGAUCAUCGCAGAGUCCAAGGGCCAGUACACAAGGUGAUCAUCAAGUGGCUUCUCCAGAGGGUCAUGGAACGGAGACAGGGUUCGGAGUUGUACAUGGCAAGGAAGAGAGCUCGAAAACAGAGGAAGAGAGCACGAGAUCUGAAGAAGAUAGCUCGAUAUCAGAAGAAGAGACUCAAAGCAAGCCUGUAGAUAAUGAAGAAGAAGGCAUUGCAGAGGAAAAGAGUGAUAGUGAAGAGGAAUUGGAAUAGAAGAAGGUGAUGUUGUUAUUGGUUUAUUUUUUUCACCACGAACUCAGCUUCAAAGUUCAACAACAGAAGAACAAAAAUAACAGUGGAAAAUUGUAUAGAAAAAGGAAAAGAAAAUUUGUAUAUCUUUUAGACGUAAAGAAAAUUAUACUUUUCUUUUCUUUCGGAUGCCUAUUGAUUCAUAGGAUGUAAAGUGUAAACAAAUUUUUUUUUUUAUAUAUACACACGUUUAACUGCACUUUUGUUAUCAAGUUUGUAAAGAAAGAAGUGUUCACCCACAUAAAAAUGUGUUAUUUACAAAGUAGAAAACACGGAAGACUUAUGAUGAACAGAAGUGAACAUAGACACUAACAGUAAAGAAAGAGGGUCAAUAUCGAAAUUCGAAGAAACCAUUAGUUCUGAAAAUUAUGAAAGUUGAGGCUCCAAUGUCUUUGUAGAGUAUCGGUAACUUUACAUCAAUUUGGAGAAACAAAAUGGUUACUCUAUGCCACUCACUCUUGCUUUCGCUAGCUUGACGCUAGGCGUUGUGUUUGUUUAUCUCUGACUAAAUGCGUGUUAAGGAAGGUUAAUCUUCUUUGUCUACCUUUGACCUGUCCAUGUCUACACAUAGAACUGUACGUAUUUUUUUUUUUUUUGACCAAAUGGUUUAACUAAUUUAUAAGAUUAUAUGGCAGUUAUGAAACAAAAAGAAAGAUUAUAUGGCUUUUCAAUAAAUUUUAAAGCAUUUUAUGAUCUCUACACUUUCUUUUUCCACAACCUCUAAGUAUUGUAUUAAUUUAUAUCAGACGCACGGAGUAUAGGAUAGCGUUUCUUUUUCGUAGAUAUUCAGAGUGUGAACAGAUAAGAUUAGUGACAUUUGCAAUAAACUACUAUAUAGUUUAGACUUAAGAGUGUUUGACAAAAUCUACAAGUAUGUUUUGAGUGUUUUUUUAGCUAGGGGACCAAUGACGAAGAAGUAAUGAAACUUGUACGUAUACUAAAAUUGGAACGAUGACUUUAUGCAUGGAUGUCACGUGUAAACAGAGAAAAUUGUCCAAAUUUACUGCCCAUAAUAAUAUAUAAAAUAAAAAAAAGUUGACGAAGAGAGUAUGGUUAACCUUAUAAGAGAGUAUAUAAAGGAACCGUUAAGAGAAUGAAUAUAACUAACUUAAAAAGACAAAAUACAAAUUAGUCUAAAUCUAAAAUAGAUAAAGCCACUUGAAACUAGAGAGAAUCUCUAAACGACAUGGCCAUCUUAGAAGAGAAUCUGUCUAUGUUGGAGGAAACAUACGAGGGAACGGAUUUGCACCUAGCCUCAAAGCUAGGGUACGAGGUACAUGCAAAGAGCAUGAUCGAGCUCCGUAAUGCCUUAAUCAGUUCCAUCAACUCCAAAGGUGACACUCCUCUUCAUCUUGCUGCUAGCUUGGGACACACCAGCAUCUUGAUUUGGAUGUUAGAGUCCAUAGAAUUGCAUAACGCAUGCGAGACAAAAGCCCUAGAAGUUCCAAAACUUUCAGAAAUGAGGAAUAAUGAUGGCUUGACACCUCUGCAUUGUGCGGCAAUGAAUGGUUCAGUUGAAAUCCUUAGGGUAUUUCUCGAUAAGUUUCCCUCUUCUUUCUACUCAGUCACAUUAGAAAAGAAAGAGACUGUGUUUCAUGUAGCUGCAAGACAUAAGAAGGACGAAGCCUUCAUCUUCAUGGCAAAGAGUGACAAGUUAGGUCAACUUCUCUACCAGCUCGAUGUAGAGGGCAACACUGUGCUUCACGCUGCAGCCUCUGUAGGCUCUAUUGACGUAAGUUUUCUCUUCCUCCUUCGCCUUCUUCUUUUCUUUUUUCGUUUUCUGUACCUUGUGCUUAGACCCAACGAUGACUAUUUUUUCUUUUAACGAACCAACGAGGACUAUAUAGAAAAUAUGAUUAAAACAAAAUUUUCUUCCAACCUCUUUUAAAGUUUUGAAUUGCUUUAAACGUUCCACCUAACAACCUUUUCUCUUCUUUAACAUUACUUGGUAAUACUAUAUAUAAUCACCGUUAUGCGAAAAAAAAUUAUGUAGAAUCGUUUUUAUUUUGAUUUUUUGACUAAAGGGUUGUACGUAGAAUCGUUAUUUGAUAGUAAGAAAACUAUCAAAUGAGUGAAAUACUAACUAAAUGCAUGUAAAAUAACACUUUCAUGAAAAAAAGUUUUCAAAUCAUAUCACUUUUCAUGAAAGUGUUAUUUUACAUGCAUUUAGUUAGUAUUUCACUCAUUUGAUUUGAAAACUUUAAAUAUGUGCGGUUUCUGUUGUUGGUUUCCUGCUUCGGUUAACAUUUUCCAUUUGGACAUCUUACAGCUGGUAAAAUAUAUAAUAAAGGAAACAGAAGUAAAAGUCACCACCAAGAACAAGAAGGGUUUUGUAGCGGUUGACCUUCUCAACAAAGAUGAUGGAGAUUUCCUUCAGCUAUUUACCGCUCUGAUGAUGUGUGAUCUGGAAAUAGUAAUUGAACGCCCACCGAGUCCUAGAGAAAUGGGAAAUUUUGAUAGCCAAGAAGUCGAUGACUUGAAGCUCCAGAAGGAAAUUGUAAGAGUUAAAAGUAGUCCAAACAAAAAAUUUGAGAUGCAAUUGGAGGCUUUGCAAAGCGCUAGGAAUACUCUCACCAUUGUCGCGGUCUUGAUUGCAUCGGUUACUUUUACAUGCGGUAUAAACCCACCUGGUGGGGUCUAUCAAGAAACAUCUUCCAUAGGGAAAUCAACUGCGGCAAGAACCUUAGCUUACAUGAUCUUCACGAUAAGCAAUAGCAUCGCUUUGUUUACAUCAGUGAGUAUGGUCGUUCUUCUCGUCAGCAUUAUACCAUACAAACAGGAAUCACUUUUGAAAUUCUUAAUUAUAGCUCAUAGGAUGAUGUGGGUGGCUGUUGGAGCCAUGGCAAGUGCUUAUGUCUCUGCAACAUCGGUAAUUUUACCUAAUUUUGGAGAAACCAAAUGGUUACUCUAUGCCACUCUUGCUAUCGCUAGCUUGACGCUAGGAGUUAUGUUUGUUUAUCUACAUUGCAAGCUGGCUAAAUGUCAUAAAAGGAAGGUUCAUCUUCUUGGCCGCUUGACUACCCCACCAGUACGCAAUAGGUACGUAGACAUGGCCGCUAAUAUCGAAAAAGGCUACUAUAGUUUAUCAUGAUAUUGUACGAUUCACUUGAUCUAAGUUAUCAGGGGCGGAUGUAGUACAUGAGUAGUAGGGUCAAGUAUCCCCUACUCUUUUUUAUUUUUUUCUUAAAUGUUUAAGUAAAUUUAAUUAAAUAUAUUUAAUUUAGUAGAAAAAAAAAGUUUUUUGCCUCCAACUAUUUUUUUUUUCUGUUUAUAAGCUUAUGCCCUCCAACUUAAUUUUUUUCUAAAUCCGUCACUAUAAGUGAUUGAUGUUUUUUUAUGGUGUGUGUCGAUGCCUAUCAUCUCCAGUGUUCAAAUUGGGAUAUCUGUUGUAGACAACAAAAAACUAUAACAAAUGUUUCGGAUAAUAUGUAUGUUGUUAACCAAAAGUUUUUCUAAAAAUGUACAAUAUAAUUUUUAUCUACUAUGGAUACAAAUAACCUUUGAAAUCCCACCUCUUACUUUAGCUUUUCGGAUUUAAUACUUUUGUAUCGAUUUUUUUUAAUUUAUUUUAUUUGAUAGAUGUCCUCUCCAACUUAGGUUCGAUCCUCUAUAUGACAAUAUAUCUCAUGUGAAAAUUGUAAGCCACAUGUAUCUUUAUCAAGACCGUAGACGUAGGCCCAAAAGGUUUCCAUAACUAGCAGAAAUUGAAACGUGCAAAUCUGCCAAAUCAUAACACAGGAAAGGCAAAAAGGCUAAAGUAUUACAAAUUACAAAAAGACUUCUUGUUUGGGUAGGGGCGAGACAGAACAACUUAAUUAAGUUUAAAAAAAGGGUAGCUAUAGAAACUAAAGAUGAAAUUAGUCCUCAAAAAUUAAAGAGCAUAGACACUAACAGUAAAGAAAGAGGGUCAAUAUCGAAAUUCGAAGAAACCAUUAGUUCUGAAAAAUUCUGAAGUUGAAGCUCCAAUGUCUUUGUAGAGUAUCGGUAACUUUACAUUAAUUUGGAGAAACAAAAUGGUUACUCUAUGCCACUCACUCUUGCUUUCGCUAGCUUGACGCUAGGCGUUAUGUUUGUUAUCUCUGGCGAAAUGCGUGUUAAGGAAGGUUAUUCUUCUUAUCUACCUUUGACAUUUACUUUAUCUUUCUGAAAAAAAAAAAAAAAGAUUUUUCCAUGUCUACACAUAAAACUGUACGUUUUUUAUUUAUUUUAACCCACGGAGUAUAGGAUAGAGAUUCUUUUUCGUAGAUAUUCAGAUUGUGAACAGGUAAGAUUAGUGACAUUUGCUAUAAACUAAUAUAUAUUUUAGACUUAGGAGCGUUUGACAAAACCUACAAGUAUAUUUGAGUUUUUUUAGCUAGGGAACCAAUGACGAAGAAGUAAUUAAACCUCUUCGUAUCCUUAUGACUUUAUGCAUAGAUGUCACGUGAACCGAAAAAAAUUGUCCAAAUUUUACCCCCACUAUGAUAUAUAAAUUGGAAAAAAGAGUUGACGAAGAGGGUAUGGUUGGCCUUAUAAGAGAGUAUUUAAAGGAAUUGUUAGGAGAAUGAAUAUAACUAUAACUUAAAAAGACAAAUGCAAAUUAGUUUAAAAAUAUCAAAUAGAUCCUAAGACCAAAGAGCCCCAAAGCCACUUCAAACUAAAGAGAAUCUCAGAGUAAAACUGGAACGAUGACUUUAUGCAUAGAUUUAUUGUCACGUAUAAACAGUAAAAAUUGUCCAAAUUUUACUCCCCACUAUAAUAUAUAAAUUGAAAAAAAGGAGUUGACGAAGAGGGUAUGGUUGACCUUAUGAGAGGGUAUUUAAAGGAACCGGUAAUUAAGAGAAUGAAUAUAAGAAUAACUUAAAAAGACAAUUGCAAAUUAGUUUAAAAAUCUCAAAAUAGAUUCUAAGACCAAAGAGUUCCAAAGCUACUUGAAACUAAAGAGAAUCUCAGACUAACUGGGAUGAUGACUUUUUGCAUGGAAGAGGGUAUGGUUGACUUUAUAAGAGAGUAUUUAAAGGAAUCUUUAAGAGAAUUAGAGAAAUAAUAUCACUAUAACUUAAAAAGACAAAUACAAAUUAGUUUAAAUAUCUCAAAUAGAUCCUAAGAUCAAAGAGUCCCAAAGCCACUUGAAACUAAAGAGAAUCUCAGACUAACUGGAACGAUGACUUUAUGCAUGAAUUUAUUGUCACGUGUAUACCGAAAAAAUUGUCCAAAUUUUACUCUCCAUAAUAAUAUAUAAAAUGAAAAGAAAUGUUGACGAAGAGGGUAUGGUUGACCUUAGACCAUUAUUAUCGCAGAGUUUUAUAUAGGUUUCUUAGCCCAAAAAACGAAUAAAAUAAUGUUUUAAGCCCAAAAUUAAUAAAAAUCGAUUCUUAUUUGGGACCUGCAAGAAACGACUCUUAUUUCACACGUGUCAUAAAUCUAUUGGACAGACAAAUCUCUCGGCCAAAUUUUCAAUUCUCGACCAUUUUUCCUCUUCAGAUUCCGACUCUUCAUUCUUCGACCAUUUCCCGGUCAAAUCAUCUCCACCGACGAUUCAUCCUCAUCUUCGUCCCCAUCUCCGACGCGUUGCCUGUCUCCUCCAAGCCGAUACACCUAUGAUGCCCCGAGAUCUAUGUCACCGUCUCAUAAACGAUUCGCGAAGAAAACCAGCUCGUAGAGGUUUGUUACUCUUCACUUUCCUCUUUGGCAAUGAUGGUUUUGAGAAAAAUGAUGAUUUGAAUCUUCAAUUAGGUGAUUACAGACUUGGGAGACCACCUGACGCACGUUAUCUCAGUGAACCUGGAUGAUAAUCCUAUUUAAUUUGAUGGUGAUUUGAUAUCCUCUUUAAUCAUAAGGCCUGGUGUUGGCAAGACCACUGUUUUGCUAGAGAUUGUUUGUGUCUUGUCCGAUGAAUUCCAGAAAAAGAGUGGUGGGUCUUCUUGUCCUUCCUCUAUAUUUCUCUUAGCCCUGAAAGGUUUUGUUUUUUUCUUUUUGAUAAAAAGUGAUUUAGUAUGUGCAAUGUGUGUUUAGAUGAUAAUUGAUACAAGUAACGAAAUAGGAGGAGACGGCGAUAUUCCACACUUGGCGAUUGUAGGUGCAUAGAAUGCAAGUGUCGAAGCCAUCUCUGCAGCAUAAAGUGAUGAUCGAGGCAGUAGAGAACCAUAUGUUUCAGGUGAUCAUCGUUGAUGAGAUCGGCACAGAAGCUGAGGCGCUUGCUUGUCGUUCCAUUGCUGAGCGGGGAGUGAUGCUAAUUGGCACUGCUCAUGGAGAACAGCUCCAGAACAUCAUAAAGAAUCCUACUCUUUCAGACUUGGUAAUAAUUGCUGUUCUGAAAUGUUAUAUUUAUCCCUUUGCUUCAGCUUUUUUUCUCAAUGUUCUUUGUCCCUUUACUGAUUUUUUCACCAAAUCUGUUCUUGCCUCUGCAGUCACUAUCUUCUUGACAUUCAAUAUAUUCUUGGCUUACUCUUGUGCAGACUGAAAAGAGUGUUGAUAUGUUGCUUCGAGGAAGAAACCCCAUGGUUGAGGUACACAAUAACUGAAUAUACAUAAUGAUGGUUGAUCGGUUGAGAUGUAAAGGGAACUGAUUUGACUUGUGUAGGCUAUUAUAACUAUGGUUUUCGAUUUCUAGGUAAGGAGAAGAGAUGAGGAGUUCAACGUAGUGAUAGAAAGAUGGAAGUCAUACGAUUGACAAGGCAUCUGAGUUUUCCUUUUAAUGGUUGUUCAUGUCACAAAUUCUGUCUUUCUUGUGAACAAAGGUGUUGUCAGUAGAUUGAAAAAACAAAAAAAACAUUUGUAUAAAUGACUAAUGCAAUUUGGAGAUUGUGUGUCCAUGUCUAUUUAGAAAAACAUGACAUGAGGUAUUAAAACUUCCCUCUGCUUGCUUCUUCUCACUAGUACCAAUCUUCACUAUUAAUUUUUUUUUUUUUUAGAAACUCAUUUAGAGGUUUUGCAAUGAACCAUCAAAAAUAUUGAGUUUCUUGUUAAGAGUUUUUAAUCUAUAAUUAAUAAUAAAAAAUUGUUAAGAAACUCAUUAGAAGUUUUAGGGAUAAUGAUGCUCUUAUAAGACAGUAUAUAAAAGAACCGUUAAGAGAAUGAAUAUAACCAACUUAAAAAGACAAAUGCAAAUUAGUCUAAAUCUCAAAUAGAUCCUAAGACCAAAGAGUUCCAAAGCCACUUCAAACUAAAGAAAAUCUCAGAAACGACAUGGCUAUCAUAGAAGACAAUCUGUCUAUGUUGGAGGAAGCAUACGAUGGAACCGUUUUGCACCUAACCACGCAGCUAGGGUUCGAGGUACAUGCAAAGAAGAUGAUCGAGCUCCGUACUGCCUUAAUCAGUUCCGCUAACUCCAAAGGUGACACUCCACUUCAUCUUGCUGCUAGCUUGGGACACACCAGCAGGGCCGGCCCAGUUGUAUCUGACGCCUAAAGCAAAAAUAAAUAUUUACAUAACAAAUACAUGAGGGAGAAUCGAACUUGGGUCAUUUGACAACAGAAUGAUGGACUAACCACUAAACUAUAAAAGGAACUUAACUAAAAUUUGCUACUCUUAAUAUUUAUACUAAAUUUGGUGCCUAAAGCCUAUGCUUUAGCAGCUUUAGUUCAGGGCCGGCCCUGCACACCAGCAUCUUACUUUGGAUGUUAGAGUCCAUAGCAUUGCAUACCGCAAGCGAGACAAAAGCCCUAGAAGUUCCAAAACUUGCAGAAAUGAUGAAUAAUGAUGGCUUGACACCCCUGCAUUGUGCGGCAAUGAAUGGUUCAGUUGAAAUCCUUAGGGUAUUUCUCGAUAAGUUUCCCUCUUUAUUCUACUCAGUCACAUUAGCAAAGAAAGAGACUGUGUUUCACGUAGCUGCCAGACACAAGAAGCAAUAAGCCUUCAUCUUCAUGGCAAAGAGUGACAAGUUAGGCCAACUUCUUUACCAGCUCGAUGUAGAGGGCAACACUGUGCUUCACGCUGCCGCCUCUGUAGGCUCCAUUGCCGUAAGUUUUCUAUUUCUCCUUCUCCUUCUCCUUCUUCUUUUAUUUAUUUCGUUUUCUAUACGUUGUGCUUAGACCCAACGAUGACUAUUUUUCUUUUAACGUCCCAACGAUGACUACAUAGAAAAUAUAUUUAAAAUAAAUUUUUCUUUCAUUUAUCAACCUCUUCUAAAGUUCCAAAUUGCUUUAAAAUUUCCACCUAACAACCUUUCCUCUUCUUUAACAUUACUUGGAAAUACUAUAUAUAUAACUGCCGUGAUGCAAAAACAAAUUAUGUAGAAUCGUUUUUAAUAUAAUUUUUGACUAAAGGUUUGUACGUAGAAUCGUUAUUUGAUAGUUAAAAAAAUAUCAAAUGAGUGUAAAUGCAUUUAAAAUAACACACUCAUGAAAAGUGAUAUGAUUUGAAAAAUUCAAAUAUGCGGGUUUUGUUGUUGGUUUCCUGCUUUGGUUAACAUUUUCCAUUUGGACAUAUUACAGCUGGUAAAAUAUAUAAUAAAGGAAACAGAAGUAAAAGUCACCACCAAGAACAAGAAGGGUUUUGUAGCGGUUGACCUUCUCAACAAAGAUGAUGGAGAUUUCCUUCAGCUAUUUACCGCUCUGAUGAUGUGUGAUCUGGAAAUAGUAAUUGAACGCCCACCGAGUCCUAGAGAAAUGGGAAAUUUUGAUAGCCAAGAAGUCGAUGACUUGAAGCUCCAGAAGGAAAUUGUAAGAGUUAAAAGUAGUCCAAACAAAAAAUUUGAGAUGCAAUUGGAGGCUUUGCAAAGCGCUAGGAAUACUCUCACCAUUGUCGCGGUCUUGAUUGCAUCGGUUACUUUUACAUGCGGUAUAAACCCACCUGGUGGGGUCUAUCAAGAAGAACAUUCCAUAGGGAAAUCAACCGCGGCAAGAACCUUAGCUUUCAUGAUCUUCAAGAUAAGCAAUAGCAUCGUUUUGUUUACAUCAGUGAGUAUGGUCGUUCUUCUGGUUUGCAUUAUACCAUACAACGAAGAUUCACUUUUGAAAUUCUUGGUUAUAGCUCAUAGGAUGAUGUGGGUGGCUGUUGGAGCCAUGGCAAGUGCUUAUGUCUCCGCAACAUCGGUAAUUUUACCUAAUUUUAGAGAAACCAAAUGGUUACUCUAUGCAGGGCCGGAUCUGGGGAUAACCUGAUGAAACAUCCGCCUAUAGCUUCCAAAAUUUUUCUUUGAUUAUUACGAAUUUUUGGGCCUCCAAAUCACAAAAAAAAUAUUUGUUCUUAAAUUGUUUCUAGCCCCCAAAUUUUCAGAUCCCAUCCUGACACUAUGCCACUCUUGCUAUCGCUAGCUUGACGCUAGGCGUUAUGUUUGUUUAUCUACAUUUCAAGCUGGCUAAAUAUCAAAUAAGGAAGGGUCAUCUUCUUGACCACUUGACUAUCCCGCCAGUGCGCAAGGAUAGGUACGUAGACAUGGCCGCUAAUCUAAAAAAAGGCUACUAUAGUUUAGCAUGAUACUAAAUACUAGAUAAGGAUGGACUUAUAAUAAGAUAUUCUACAAUUUAAGCGAAUAAUUAACUUUGAAUCAUUUUCUAUUAUAUAAUAAGAUUUUAUAAGUCACAUGAUCUAUGAGUGAUUGAUGGUUUUUUUAUGUGUGUCGAUGCUUAUCAUCUCCAAUGUUCAAAUUGGGAUAUAUGUUGUAGACAAAAAAAAAAAAGAACAAUAACAAAUGUUUUUGGAUAAUAUGUUUGUUGACAACAAGUUUUUUUUUUAAAUGUACAAUAUCAUUUUUAUCUAUUAUGGAUACAAAAAAAAAACUCUUUUCAGAUUCAAUGCUUUUGUAUCAACUUUUUUUACUUUUAUUUGAUAGAUGUCCUCUCCAACUCAGGUUCGAUCCUCUAUAUAUCUUAUGUGAAUUGUAUCUUUAUUAAGGCCGUAGAACUAGGCCCAAAAGGUUUCCAUAACUAGCAGAAACUGAAACGUGCAAAUCAUAUAUAUUACAAAGGAAGCUAAAGUAAAUAACAAAAAGACUUCUUGUUUGGGUAGGGGCCAGACAGAACAACUUAAGUUUAAAAAAAAAAGGGUAGCUAUAGAAAUUAGAGAGGAAAUUAGUCCUCAAAAAGUAAAUUCUGAAGUUGAAGCUACAAUGUCUUUGUUCAAAGACUUUAUUUAGAGGUAAAGCUAUGCCUUGUAACCACCAAAUAGCUCCUUUUCAUCUACACUCUCAAUAUUUUUUUAAACCAUCUCUGCGUUGCCUUCCCUUGACUUGUCUAUCUCUCUCCAACUUCCCUCCUUCAAUAUAAAGCCUAAUUCUUAAACCGAAUUCCCCUAAACCGAACCGAUCUAUACCAUACCAACAAGAAUCUUGGUUACGGUUAAUCAGAUAAAUUAACAACAACGUCUUGAAUGUUAUAGUUAUAUACCGGGAAAAAAACCAAAGCUUUUUCUUAACAGAAACCCAUUACAUCAAACCGUGGCCUUUGUAAUUCUAACAAACAAAAACAUUUCAUUUUCUUCACAUGAAACAUCAGAUACGAUCUGCCAUUAAUAACCUAAACACAAAGCAAGGUUAGGUAAAUGACAUAGACCCUUUUGAAUAACCAAACAUACACAAUACAUAACAACGUAAGAUCCCAUUUUCCCUCUUCGGACAUCCAUCUCCAUUCAGACAAAACCACAUUCAGAAAAGAAAAGGCGAACAAAGACAGUAAACAGAACAGAGCAAAAAAACAGAGAAAGAUGCAAUUGCAUAUAUCUCCGAGCUUGAGACAUGUGACUGUGGUCACAGGGAAAGGAUUGAGAGAGUUCAUAAAAGUGAAGGUGGGUUCUAGAAGAUUCUCGUAUCAGAUGAUGUUUUACUCUUUGCUCUUUUUCACUUUUCUUCUCCGAUUCGUCUUCGUUCUCUCCACCGUUGAUACUAUCGAUGGCGAUCCGUCUCCUUGCUCCUCUCUUGGUACGUUUCUUCUACUUCUCUCUUUCUUGCUUUCUUUUAUCUAAAUCCGGAAAUUUAAGUUAAUGUUUCAACUACUAAUCGCAAGAUAUUUUUUUUGUUUUUCUUUUCGCUCUGAAUUUAAAAUUUUGAUUUCCUCACAUUUUCUUGAAAAAUUUGUAAAUAGAUAACUGCGUUUUCAUUGUUACUUUUGAUCAUUUUGUAGAUACACUAAUAAAUAAAUAUACAAUAGUUGAAGUUCAUGUAAAAGAAUAAUCUAAACGAAUGAUAUUCAAUUACUUCUAGAGAUUUACGCCCAAAAGUGAAUAAUCCAAGAACUGGUCGGUUUGUUUCAGGUUUAUUUUGUAGUGUAAUGGUCGAGCUUCAUCAAAUAUUUAAAAUCAUUUCAAAGAUUCAAAAGAGAGAAAUUAGUUAAUCUCAUAAUUAAAACAUUAUCUAGAUAUGAGACAAAGUUUUCUUUUUUUUAUUUCUAAUUAACAGCUUGCUUGGGAAAAAGACUAAAGCCAAAGCUUUUAGGAAGAAGGGUUGUUGAGUCUGGUGUAAGUUCUCUAACUUCAAUUUCAGACCCUUGAACACAUUUACAUUUACUGUGGUUAAAAAAGGUUAUUUUUCUUUGGUUAUUUAGAAUGUUCCAGAAGCUAUGUACCAAGUUUUGGAACAGCCGUUAAAUGAACAAGAGCUAAAAGGAAGAUCAGACAUACCUCAAACACUUCAAGAUUUCAUGUCAGAAGUCAAAAGAAGCAAAUCAGACGCAAGAGAGUUUGCUCAAAAGCUAAAAGAAAUGGUCACAUUGAUGGAACAAAGAACAAGAACGGCUAAGAUCCAAGAGUAUUUAUACCGACACGUCGCAUCAAGCAGCAUUCCCAAACAACUUCACUGUUUAGCUCUUAAACUAGCCAACGAACAUUCCAUAAACGCAGCCGCACGUCUCCAGCUUCCAGACGCCGAGCUAGUCCCAACCUUAGUCGACAACAACUACUUUCACUAUGUCUUGGCUUCAGACAAUAUUCUUGCAGCUUCGGUUGUGGCUAAGUCAUUGGUUCAAAACUCUUUGAGACCUCACAAGAUCGUUCUUCACAUCAUAACGGAUAGGAAAACUUAUUUCCCAAUGCAAGCUUGGUUCUCAUUGCAUCCUCUGUCUCCAGCAAUAAUUGAAGUCAAGGCUUUGCAUCAUUUUGAUUGGUUAUCAAAAGGGAAAGUCCCGGUUUUGGAAGCUAUGGAGAAGGAUCAGAGAGUGAGGUCUCAAUUCAGAGGUGGAUCAUCGGUUAUUGUGGCUAAUAACAACGAAAAUCCGGUUGUUGUUGCUGCUAAGUUACAAGCUCUUAGCCCUAAGUAUAACUCCUUGAUGAAUCACAUCCGUAUUCAUCUACCAGAGGUAAGUUCCAUAAUUGAGAAAAUACUUGAGCAUUAUAUUACCCCUUUGAAUGCCUCAACAGUCUUUGUUUCUUCGCAGUUGUUUCCGAGCCUAAACAAGGUUGUGUUUCUAGACGAUGACAUUGUGAUCCAAACUGAUCUUUCACCUCUUUGGGACAUUGACAUGGAUGGGAAAGUGAAUGGAGCAGUGGAGACAUGUAGAGGAGAAGACAAGUUUGUCAUGUCAAAGAAGUUCAAGAGUUACCUCAAUUUCUCAAACCCGAUAAUUGCCAGAAACUUUGACCCAGAGGAAUGUGCUUGGGCUUACGGGAUGAAUGUUUUCGACUUAGCGGCUUGGAGAAAGACUAACAUAAGCUCCACUUACUAUCAUUGGCUUGACGAGGUAAUUCAAAACCACUAACUAAAACAUAACUCAUUAUCAAGUGGCAUUCAACUUAAAACUCAUGACCAUUUUCAUGCAUUAUGUUGCAGAACUUAAAAUCAGACCUGAGUUUGUGGCAGCUGGGAACUUUGCCUCCCGGGUUGAUAGCUUUCCACGGUCAUGUCCAGACCAUAGAUCCGUUCUGGCAUAUGCUUGGUCUUGGAUACCAAGAGACCACGAGCUUUGCUGAUGCUGAAAGCGCAGCUGUUGUUCAUUUCAACGGAAGAGCUAAGCCUUGGCUUGAUAUAGCAUUUCCUCAUUUACGUCCUCUCUGGGCUAAGUAUCUUGAUUCCUCUGACAGGUUCAUCAAGAGCUGUCACAUUAGAGCUUCAUCAUAAUAAUCACAAAACCAAAACUCAGUUCGUACAUUGGCUAAAACCCAGAGAAGAGAGAGAUUCACAGAUCCAAACAUGAAACAUAGGAGCAAACUUUUCUUCAAUGGAGUUUGUACUUCUCUGGUCAAGAUACCCUCUUCCAGAUCAUGUUUUGCUGUCUCUUUAGUUUUCAGUCUCUCCUGUUUCUAAUUUUUUGUACUUUCAAGACUCUUAUGGCGAGGAACAUUCUAUGUAUUAAUGUAAGAACACAUAAUGUGUGAGAAUAUCUGCCAAACUCUACUUAAAUUUACAUGUGAAUAGAUAACAUUGCGCAAAGCAAUUGGAGUUUUACAAUGUCAUAUCAUUGUUCAACAGAUAACAGUUACGAAGAUAACACCAUAAAACGAAAGCAACGAUAAGACUAAGAAAGCCGAGAAAGAGGAGAGCAAAACAAAUGGAGACUUUUCUUUCAGCGGAAGCGAGAAGCAAACCAAUUGAUGAUUUUUUUUCCUGAGGUCUUUGUCUCCCAGUUAAGCAACUGGUGGACGAAGGACAUGAUCCUGAGAAGUAUCGACUGAAGCAGGAGGCAUGAACUGCCACAUGGCAACUCCUGGGUAACUGAUGAUUGGCACCAUCUUGUUUCCGGGAGCUUGGCCUUGUGCAGAAGCAAAAGCAGUUGGCAUCAUAGGUGGAGCUGGGAAAAAGCUUGGUUGAGGAGCAUUCAUGGUUUUCAGCUGUUGCUCCAGCUUCUCUUUCUCUGUCUUCAGCCUCUGUUUCUCAUCUCGCAACUCGUUUUUCUCAGUCUGAUCGAAAUCACAAGGAAACUAGUAAGCAUUUCGAUGAAUUUCAAUGGAUGACCACAAAUCAAAGAAAAUUUUUACCUUUAACUCUUUGAUUUUGUCCUGGAGACUUGAAUUGGAGUCCUUCAACUUCUGGGCUUCGCCCCGUAGCUGUGCCACCAUGCGGACAGCAUCAACCAAGAUUGCAGCCUUGUCUGUUUUGGGAGGAUUCCCAGGCUCCAAAAUUGCACCCAAUUCCGUAAACCUGUUAUUCAUUAAAAAAGGCUAUAAAUUUCAGUUCCUACGUGAGGGAAAAGAAGGAAAUACGAAAUAAAAAGAUUACUUGUCAUUCAAUCUGUCACGUCGCAGCUUCUCUCUACAUGCUUUUGAGCCAGUGGCAGAGGAUGAUUCACAUCUACCCCUGAGACAAGUAAUGACCAGUGUUACUUUUUUCCGAAACCUUGUCAAGCCAAAAGCAUUUGAAGAGAGCCAAUACAAAUCCCCCAAAACAGUUCAGUCAUGAACUGGUUUCUCAAAGUUUUAAAUUCCAGAAGUUGCUAUAGUUUCGUGUUUCAGUCAGUUUUUCGAAUAAAAGCGCGACAGAUGAAGUUUACCAGAAGAAGCUUACCUCUUUUUGGAGCCAGGUUCCUUGCUGGCUUCUGAAUUUCCAGCUGAGACAUCAACUCCCGCGCUGAAUCAACAAGAAAAAACAUCAAAGCAACUAAGUUAUUACUACAAUACAAACAAUCGAAGAGAAUUACCAGAAAUCAUUCUAACACUUAUCUAUAUCCAACAAAAGCUCCGAAAACUUAUAGUCAAUCAGGCAAAAACUUACAGCUGCUCAUUACCAAGGAACAAGAUUUAUUAAGAAUAUUUAGCAUGGUUAGGUCAAACCAGCCACUCAGAUAGAAGGCCCUAUCCACAAAAACGAAUCUAAUUCCCACCUAAUAAAGUGAUAUAGAUCAAUCGAUUCCGGAAUCUAGCAACAUGUCAGAAGUACACUAAAACAUGUCAGGCACACACACAGUUGACUUUGGAUAAACAAACCAAAGACCUCUCCUGAAGACUUCACAUCAUUUUACGAAGUGCAACGAAAUCUCACCAGCUAAAGAAACCAAUUUUUAAGCUUAAAAAGUAUAUUUCGAUGGUAAAGAAGUAACAAUAGGGUCUCAGUUUCUUCUCUAUAAGCUACUCAAACAAUCCCACAAGCUUCAACUUAGCCAAGCAAAUUACGAAGUCCACCACAAUUUUACUCUUGAAAUAUUGUUUUUUUUUAAACCCUAUGAGAAAAAAGUCCAUUUUUUUAGCUGAAUAUGCUAAUAUGUGAGCAAGUAAUUAGGCUUUUCCUUGAUCAAAAUGAAACGCCACACACUCGCAUGCCAGUGUUAACCAGAAGAAAUUCUUCAAGCAAUCACACAAACAUGCUACACUAAUUUCUCCCAAAUCAAUCUGAAGCUCUUAAAAACAGAUCAGAACCCUAAUUUGAAGCACUUAGACACAAGAGGGAAGAGCUCAAUUAAAAAAAAAACGAACCUGGAGUUUGAAGAAACGCCAAUAGGUUGCUGCACGGGCCAAGAGAAACCUGGACCUUGGAUUGUGAAACUUCCAUAGUCGGCAUCAAUCAGGUCGCAAAUCCAAUUAGCGUUUUCGGGCGACACCAUCUCCUGAAACUCCACCGGUGAAAAAAAAGGGGAAAAAAGAAUACGGCGAGUAUAUAACACUCCCGGUGAAUUGAAUUUUCCCGGCGGCGAUCAGAGAGAUCCUUUUGUGGAAGAGGGAAAUUUAGCCAAAGCGAUUUCUGCCGUUAAAUUAUAUAUUUUUGUGUGUCGAAGGAAACAUAGAAGAAGAAAAAAACUGUUGGAGGAGACGAAUUGUUGUGGAAUCUUGGAAUCCAGAGAUUAGAGUUGUUUUCACGCGCAGACUUCAUACUUUUUGGGCUUACAAGGCCCAUAUAUUAUAUCUAAUGUUUUUUUAAUUUAUUUAUUCAUUCAUUUGUGUGACAUCAUCAUAUUUUAUCAAUACAACUAGUAAUUAUAUUUUCAAGAAAAAACAAAAUCUCAACCGCUCAGCUCAAGCUUGCUUGUAUUUUAAUUUCGGUUUGAAAUGCCAAAAUAAAUAAGCUACACAAUUUAUUCAAGUAAAUAAAUACCCAGUAGAAUAUUCAAUAUGAAAAACGUAAAAAGUAACAUUAAAAGAUAGCCAUAUAAGGAAAAAAAUAUGAAGAGCAUUAUAUCUUUUACUGUUAUAGUAAGGGAUUACCAAUCAAAUUAACAAUAUCUAUCAUCACUUAGCUGGUUUUAUUUAUUUCUGAUAAUUAAAAAAAAACAUAGUACUAUGUGGUAUGUGUUUUAUAUUGCCCGUUGCUUAUAAGAUUUAACAAACGAAAUUGAUAAUUAUUUCUGAUCAGGUUGGUUGGAUUGGAUCGAAAUUAUUCGAGAACAUGGUUGGAUGGUCGUGAUCUAGGAGAUCAAACUCUCCUGCUUCCUCCCGUACAUACAUGAAAAGUUGCUUUAAAUUUUGUGAAAAUAAAGUCAAAAAUAUUCCUUACAUGAAAAACUGGUCAGUCCGAUAUUAAUAUUUUAAGUUUAUAGUGUUUUUCUAACAGUAAAAAAUUAAACAAAGGUCAAACGGUAGAAAUUUACGUUUAUUAUAACUGUAUAAUGAAAGGGCAAAUACUUUAAGUCUACAACUGUACGUAAUAUCAAUAUGCACCAUUUUGCAUAUAUUUAUAGAAUUAUAAGUUUUGCAAAUAUCUUGGUUGAAAUGCCACAAGAAUUAAGUACAGUUUUUCAAAGAAGUAUAUAUGCAGUAAAAAAAUACAAUGAAUCAGUUUUAUGAAAAAUCGAUUUUUGGUUUCAACUAUGAGACCAGUAACCACUAGAUUACCUAUCAUCACCUUCUUCUUCUUUUUUGUCAACGAUACUUAUCAUCACUCUUAAAAGAAUGUAGUAGUAUACUGGUGGUGUAAUUCACACUCCCGGUUUAACUCGGUAUUAAUCGAGACCGGUCCGGAAAGACUUCGGUUUAUAAAGAUUGGGAUCGAAGUUAAAUCGGGUGGGCCGACAUAUGACUUUCUAGAAUACCUAUUAAAGUCCAAUUUACGAAAUUGGCCGACUUUCCCGAAUUUCACGGAGGAUUUCCGAAAAUACCGGGGAGAAAAAUGUUAAAUCCCAUAUCGAGAAGGAAAAGAAAAGUUCUUCUCAAACCGCCUUAGAAUUCAUAUAAAUAGGGAAUAAUUUCAUUCAUUCGAGGCAUCCGCAAAUAAACAGCAGAGAGACCUUUGAAGAACUUUGAGAUCGUCAUCUUCCUUUGUUAACAAGGUCGUCGAAACUACGACGAUCUUAACUAAGUUGUAUUUUUCUAAACUAUCUUCUAAUAAAACGAGACUUUCGAUUCGAAUAUUACUGUUUUACCCCUUAGUGUGAUAUUACAUAUCAACAUAUAUAUGUGUUUUUUAUUUGACCAUUUGGCUUUUAUUCACAUAUUAAAUGGAUGAUUUUUUUUAUGUGAUCAGAUUAGUUGGAUUGGAUCGAAAUUAUUCGAGAACAUGGUUGGAUGGUCGUGAUCUAGGAGGUCACAUUCUUCUGCUUCCUCCCGUACAUACAUGAAAAAAUCCUUAAAAAUUUGUAGCAAGGAAAGUCAAGAAUAUUCCGUACGAAACUAUAUAAUUUAGAUCAGUUCGGCAUUUUCUAACUGUUAACAUUUCAAAAGAGGACCAGGUAUGAUCACAGAAGCUUAACACUCUAUUAUACAUAACAUAAUAAUAUUUUAACGUAUUGUUAUGAUGGAAUCUUUUGAUACAUACAUUUCUUUUCUUGAUUUGAGAUAGACAUUAAUCUUUCAACUAGCAUUGUACGUAAUAACUUAUUGUUAGUGUCAAGUUUUAAAAAUAAUAAUCUUAGAUGCCCAUCGACAUCUCAGGUUCAAAUCCAAAAUUUUACAAUAUAGGAACGGUGGAUUCUGAAAAGAAUUAGAGGAAUUUUUGGGGGACAAUAAGUAAAUUUUUUUAUCCCCCACAAUACAUAAGACGACCCUUUUGCAUAUACAUAUGUCACGUAGAGAUCAACUUAUUUUCUUCCAAAAAUGAAGGCCAAAUUGAUAAAUAGACUUAUCAGCUACUAUUGAUCAGGAAUAUCCAUCGAUACACCGUAGGUAUAUUCUCUAAUUAGUUGGAUUGGAUCGAAAUUAUUCGAGAACAUGGUUGGAUGGUCGUGAUCUAGGAGAUCAAAUUCUUCUGCUUCCUCCCGUACAUACAUGAAAAUUCCUUAAGAAUUUGUAACAAAUAAAGUCAAAGAAUAUUCCGUAUGAAACUAAAUAAUUUAGAUCAGUUCGGAUUAGUUGAAGUUAAUUAUAUACUGAUUUUCUAACUGUUAAUAUUUCAAAGGAGAACCAGGUAUGAUCAAAGAGGCUUAACACUCUAUACAUAACAUAAUUUAUGACGUAUUUGGUAUGAUGGUAUCUUUUGAUACAUUUAUUUUCUUGAUUUCAGAUAGACAUUCAUCUUUCAACUACCAUUGUAAUAACUUAUUAUUAGUGUCAACUUUUGUAAUAACAAUCUAAGAUGCCCAUCGACAUCUCAGGUUCAAGUCCAAAAUUUUACAAUAUAGGAACGGUGGAUUCUGAAAGGAAUCUUUUGGGGUCAAUAAGUAAAUAUUUAUCCCCCCCCCUAAUACAUAAGACGACCCUGUUGCAUAUACUGUAACUGUGUUAUGUGUCACGUAGAAAUCGACAUAUUUUCUUCCAAAAUGAAGGCCAAACUGAUAAAUAGACUUCAGCUACUAUUGAUCAGGAAUAUCCAUCAAUACACCGUAGGUAUAUUCUCUAAUUAUAUUUAUAUACUACUUAUUAGCAUAUUUUCUGUUGAAUUGUUUUAUAUGUACAUUGUCCUUUUAUAUUAUAGUAUUUAUAUACAUAUUUUAAUAAAACCUACACAGUUGAUUAUAUAUCCUUUUCUUCUUAUUAUAGCCUUUCACUACUAUUAUAAAAAGGAAAACAAUAACACAUACAAGACAUUCGAUAUCUAGCAUCGGCUAAUAAAAAAAAAAGAUAGGAACCCCAUUUUUUUAUAAUGAAAAUACAAUAGUUAAUGUCAAUUUGUGAGUCAUGUAAAGAUUCAUUAUAAAUAAACUUACGAAAUUUAUACUCAACACAAAGGGAUAUAUAAAAAUAUGAUCCGCCUUAUCCAAAUUGCUUUUAGAUUCAUUAAUAAUGUAUGUAGAACUGGCGUCAUAUAUCAAGUUGAGUAUCUAUAAUAAACUUCAAUAUUCUGAAUCAAAUGUUAAUAACUUAUGAAUGCAAUGAUAUAUAAUUAUAUAUAUAUAUAUAUAUAUAUAAAUAGGUAUUUGCACAAAUAUUUUAAAGUUUGACUUAUUCUUUUCCCAAGUUCCGUGGAGUGGUGGAGGCAUGAAUUUUGCCAUAGUUCCAGAUGUUCUUUUAGUUUUGCUAUCUCAAUAUUUAAAAGCAAUUCAACAGGAGUUGACUCUAUCAUACAAUAAGUUAUGGGUUUUCUAAACAGAUUUCCUUAUAUAUUCAAUAUUCAAUAUAUCCGGAGAAGAAAUCGAUUACGGCUAAAUUAAACCUAAUAAGAAUAUAAGGUUUAGUGAAUUAUCAAUUCGCAUGGAUAUCAGGAUGUUGAUGGACCAGGCCAGACUCUCUCCAAAAUCAACAUGGUGAUUUGAAAUAACUAAAACUUCUCUAGUCCAGUGAUUUUUGGUAAUAAUGUUAUUAGUCAUCUCAUAUCACCAUGUUGAUUUCAUUUUCUAGCUACCUAUCCAAUAUUACAAUUUCCAGAACAACCUAAAUAAAAAAUAAACAUUAUAUAGAAUCAAGUGAAUUCUCAGUUAUCAAUGAAAUUUUAAUACAUUGUUCCUACUUCCUACUAUAUUUAGUCCUCAGCUAAAGAAAAUCUGUUCCUUUUACUAAAACAUAUAUCUUCAUCAUCCUUAUAAAAAUUGGUAGAAUUCUAUUAAUAAAAUUCUGUUUUUGUUUAUUUCUAACUUGAACCCUUUGGAGUAAAUUAUUGGAGCUGAUAUACUUCUUGUGAAGUUUAAACUGCACUGCAUGUAUAUCUUAAUACCAGUUGAAAAUGUGUUAAUCCAUGUAAAUUGUAUUUUUUUUUUUUCAAAUCAUGUAAAUUGUAUAAAAACCAUCAAUAACUUGGUGAUUUUCUAUGAAAUAUUCCCUAUAGAAGAAUUACCAAUAAACUUCUAGACCUGAUUACUUGAUCCAAAACUCAGAGAAAUGAAUAUUUUGAAUCUCAGAGAAAAUUUAAUAUGAAUCCAAACAUCAACAAGCAAAAUCCUACUGAUCCAGAAGAAGAAAAAAAAUUACAGAAACAACAGAUUUUUUAAGAUGCUAAACAAAACUAUACAGAUUACAACAAAAGGUCUUCCCGUUAGAAUCAUCCCAUCCUUGAACCAUAUUUUAAGUACAAAUAUUCAUACAAUUAACUUAAUAAUGAUGCUUUAUAGCUUCAAGCUUCAAACCUCAAAUUCAUCUCUCUUUCUCUCAUCCAAGGCUCAAACGAUCCAAUGGCUUGAUGUUAGUCUGCCUACGCGGAGUUCCAAUCUCACAAGCGUUCACUCUCGCUGCAAAUCUAAGCGAGCAGAGAGACUCACCGGUAGAAGAAGAUUCCGGUGCAAUGUUCACAAACAUUAGCGUCUUAGAGUCACCGCCUAAGCAAGGCUGGAUGACAAAUGAAACAUAGUUUUAUCAUCAUACACAAUUUCAAGAAACAAAAUAUUUUGAUGGUGUUGUGUUUUGUAAAGUAGUUAGUACCUGGAGAAGAUAAGUGAGCUUUGAGUUUCGGUAUGGUACAUGAUCUUCUUUCUUUGCUAAGGCGAAAAUGACAUCGCCAAGAGACGACAAGCUCUUGUUGAUUGCCUAAAGAAAGAAGACAGUUUUUUAAGCUAAAAAUAUCAAGAAACACCAUAAUUUUGUUUUAUGUUUGUAAAGAACUUACUUGAGUUUCUUUAAGUCUAUCUCCGGUUGAUCCACUCUUCGAUAAACGCUCACUCCCUGCAAGAUCAAUCAGGUUCAAGAUCCCUUGUACUUGUUGCUCAGUGCUCUGUAAGAAGAUUAAACAGUUUGGUCUAUUAGACAAAACAGAAAUCAAGCAAUAGAACAAAAUAAGAAAACAAAACAGAUUUGGUUACUAAAAUACCUCGUUGACACCGGAAAUCCUUAGUGUGAAAACAAAAUGGCUUCUUGACGAUUGCUCAUUCAUCUGAGUCUUCCCUACCGAUCUAAAGAAGAAAGAAACCAACUUUAAAAACCGUGAAUCUUGAUAGCCAGUUUGUUAAUAACUCCUUUAGUUUGUAGUUAUUUGAAAUGGGUUUUACUUUUAGCUAUAUACCUGUUACGAGCAGCAUGAUCUAAGAGGAAUGAAACCUCUCGGGAGCUUUUAACAUCCAAAAUAGUAAGCUCAGCGACAUGUGUGUUCCCACUAGCAUCAUGUUUAAUAGCAUGUUUCUGUGGAGAGACGCCAUUGUCUGCUCUUACUGCUUCUUUAUUCGUUGACAAGAGAUCUCGGAUCGUUUCAUUGUAUAUUUCCAACAUAGAGACCUUUACAUAUGAAUCAAGACCAGGAUAAUCAUAUAUCUUAUUUUAAAACACUAUGAUGUAUCUUACUUGGUGGAAGUUAAAGACAAGAUUAAUAAAACAGACCUGCAACUCGUAUUUCCAACCCUGAGAUCGAAGAGACUGUCUCGUUUCAAAUAUUUGUUCCAAACAUCGCGGGAUCAGUCCUUUUUCUUCGGGAUUUCCUGGUCUACCCAUCAUUGUGUAAGUUUUACCUGAACCCGUUUGUCCAUAUGCAAAAAUGCACACCUACAAUAUGGAUUAUAACACCUUUAAUUAGUCCAACAAACAGUGAAAUACACAUAAUCCUAUUUGCCAUUUGCAGAUUUUAGUUACCUUGUAACCAUCGAGAGCACUCUGAACAAGUUGAGAAAUCUCUAUGAAAACGUCUUCUUGUGAUGCAUUUGGCAGAAAAACCUUGUCAAAUGUGAAAGAAUGCUUUUGCGCUGUUCAUAGCAAAAACACAUCAAAUGUAAAAAACUGUGUAAUGUCCCGCAAGAACCACGUUUCUGCAGAAGUUUUUAGUUUCAUACCGUUUUGCAUCAAGUCAAUACCGCGACCAAGUAGUUCUAAAGAUGAUGGGUAAGAAAUGGUUUUUCCCUCAUCACCAUUAUUCUCUCCCGGCAAUAGAGGUCUAACUCUACAGAACACACGUAUGUUGCCUUUCAAUUCCUGCAACAUGAGAGUAAACAAGGAUCAGGCAAGCUAUUAGACAAAGGGGAAGGAAACCAAGUGUGGCAGAGGUUAGGUAAGAGAAUCAUACAAGAAUAGUAUUGUGCAACUUCUUCCGUAGUUUUUCUCCUUCAACGAGUUUAAGCUCUGCUUCUUCUACGCGAGUUUUCAGGUCGAUAAUGGUUUGCUUCUGUUCUUCAAACUCAUUCAUUUUCUCAAAGGUAGUUAGAUCAGACAUCUAAACCAUAAACAAUCAAGAAUGGUAUCAAAAACUUAAGAACUUGUAAAAUCUGAUAAUAGUCAUUUGUUAAAUGUGAAACUCGAGAAUGUGAUGAAACCUGCAGUCUCCUAUCAGAAGAUACUAGCCGAUCUUGCAACUCUCGUAUCUGAGUAUCCUGGGACGAACAUGUAGCCUGGACCAAAACAUUUACAUCAUCCUGAGAACAAAAAUUAAUCUGCGGAGAAUUGUUUUGCAAGAAGUUAUAAAUGGAUAGGAAACCUCAAGCUCGAUUAUGGUGUCUUUGAAGUCAUUAUACUUGGUUGCCUCGGUUUGUAAGGUUUUUAACUCCGUUAAAUGGUGAUCACGGUCAUCUUUAGCCUGCUGAAGCUCGACCUUGAGACUGGCGAUUUCGUUUACCAAUUCGGCUUUCUGCUUCAUAAUAUCAUCUUGAGAGGCCUAGCAAUAAAACAAGACACCUAAUCACAUUUCUGACAUAAACUACAAACACUUACUGACAUUGAUCAAAUUAAACAGUCAAUCACCUUAGAAGCAGCAAGCUGAUCCUGCAAAGCUGAAAACUGACCCUUCAAGUUGCCAAUAUUUUCGACAAUGGCAGUCCGUUCUUUCUCGCCGCGUUUUAUAGUUUCGUGAGCUUCAUCAAGAUCACCUUGUAGCUUGCUGUUAUACAGCUGCAGGCUUGAGUUAUACUCUUGCAACAGUUUGUACAUGUCAUUCACCGAUUGUAUCUGAACAAACCCCAAAAAAAUACAGUCAACAUUAGUCAAAAUUAGGUGACAGCAAUUUAAAAUUUUAGAUCCUUUUGGAGUUUCCUCACCCUCUGAUUAGCCGUUUGAAGUUCUCCUUGUGCUUUUCCUAACUCUUCUGUGAGACCAGCUUGUGCCUUUUCAACAGCAAGUCUUGCUUCUUUCUCUUGUCCAAGAGAAUCAUUUGCGGCCUAAUGAGAACAUAUCAAGAGUUAAAACCAACAAAUAUGUACAAUUACACGCAAGCUUUUUUAAGUAGGAACUAGCAGCUUCUUACCAACUUCUCCGUUUGUUCCUUGGCAAGUUGAAUUUGAACAGAUUCAAAAUUCUUCCUCAGCUCCUCAAUUAUCAUAUUCAGCUCCUCUUCCUUGUUUUUCAAACUAACCUCUGUCAUCCAAAAUGCAAUCAUAUAAAGUUUAAAUCCAAAAACUCUUAACGCAAUAAUUUCAAAACUAAACUCUAAUUUGGAAACACACCCAUAUCAGCACAAUGCUUCUCAUUCAAUUCCAAAGCGUUCUUCAACUUCUCUUGCUCAAAAGCGUAAUCCAACUCAAGUUCUUGAAACCAUCUAAUGCAAAGUCUAAGUCUUUUUAUAUAAUCCAUCAUAUUCUCGCAUCUUUCCUGCAAAAUCAACCACCAAGAAGAACAUUCAAAAAUUCAAGCUAACCAACUCAGACCUAAAAGAGAUUCGGCCAAAAGGGUCAAAACACAUAAACAAAAAAGUCUUUAAUGCUUAUCAAACAAACAAAACUAUUUUGGUCCCACAAAUCAAAUCUUCUUCAAAACCAACAGAUCCAACGAGAAAAGCCAGUAAGGAAACUGAAAUUUAAGCCUAGAGAUUCUACCACAAAAGAUCAACACUUAAAACAACGUGUUGAAUGCUAUUGCCAAAAAAAAGGUCCCACAAAUUGUCUUAUAACAAAUCAAAUCUUGUUUCAAAAAACCAACGGAUCCAACGAGAAAAGCCAGUAAAACUACUUAAAAUUCAAAACUUCUUUACUCAAGAUUUAACCACUAAACUCUCUAUUAACAAGAACCCUAAUUGAUAAGCUUAUUCAUGACCACAACAUAAUCAAAUUCAAACAUCAGUCAUAAUAGCAAACAUAUAAUCUACAUUAGAUUCAUUUUUUACCCUCAUCAAAAAUUACAAUACACAAGAAGAAUAUGAGAUUCUGGUAAAAGAAAAAUAAAUGAUAAAUUUAAUGAAACCUUGUAGUUGAACUUGCUCUUGUACUUGAUUCGCUCAUUAAGAAGAGCUUCAACGUCUUCUCUUGUGAACUCAACUGGACCAUAUUCAGAUCCCGCCGUGCUCGCCGGAGCACUGUUCGAAGUCAGAUCUUUUGACCCAUUAGCCACCGGAAAAGCUGACCGGAUUCUUCCAUUGUUUGCCAUCGCCCCCACCAUAACAAGGAAAAAAAUUAUCUCUUCUUGUUACCUAAUUACUUCAAAUUUCUCUCUUCUCUGCCAAUCAAAGCAUAAACCUGCAAAAAAGGUUUGUUUUUUUAUAUCUUAUUAGAGAUCUUUAGAAAAAGAAAAAUGAUAAAUUUGGGUAAAGGAGUAAAAUGGGGAAAAAAAAGGAAGGAAACCCGUGAAGGUGAAGAUUUAAAUUAGAAACAAAAACAUUGAUUUGAACGAAAAACACACAACAUAUAUCAGAACCUAAAGAUUGAAACUUUAAGAGAGAAGAUUAAAAAGAGUAAAGAAACCCACUGAUCUUAAAAGAGAAGAAUGAAUGUGGAUUUCAGAGAAAAAACAUGCCCAGAUUUGUGAAAACUAUUGAGAAUGAAGAACACGAGAAAAGAUAAAAGGAGGACCUUUGGCAUUUAAGAGGGCUUGUAUCCUUUGUGUACUAAAAGAUUUGGGUAUAGAAAUGGAGGCACGUUUCAGUUUUGAUGUUCCUCUCGUCUCUUGCUGCUGGCUACUUCUUUCUAUAUUUGUUGUUUGAAUGUUCAGAGAGAGAGAGAAAGAGAUGAACGUGGGGCCGUUGAUUGGAUCUGAAGUCACCGAGGAAGUGCAAUCACAGCCGUUGCUUUACUAAACAGCAAAAUAAAUUAGAGAAUAAAAAUGUGAGGAGUCUUUUAGGACCAGGGGCAGUGAGGGUAAGGUCAGUGGACUUAAUUAUGACUUUAAUGAUUUAAUCCAACCCCUAAAUAAUUACAAGUUAAUUCUGAAUUCUAAAAAACAAUACAAAUCGAAUGCAAGGAGAAGUGGAGAAAAAAUGAACUGCCGAGGAUUUCUUUUCUCAGCUAAAAUUUAGUAUACAAAAUUGUUUAAAUGUUUUGUAUGAAUAAUUACAAGUUAAUCCUGAAUACUAAAAUAAACAACAUAAAUCGAAUGCAAGGAGAAAAAAAUGAAUUACCGAGGAUUUGUUUUCUCAGCUAAAAAUUAGUAUACAAAAUUGUUUAAAUGUUUUGUAUGAAUAAUUACAAGUUAAUCCUGAAUACUUACAAGUUAAUUCUGAAUACUAAAAUAAACAACAUAAAUCAAAUGCAAGGAGAAGGGGAGGGAAAAAAAAAUGAAUACCGAGGAUUUCUUUUCUCAGCUAAAAAUUAGUAUACAAAAUUGUUUAAAUGUUUUGUAUGAAUAAUUACAAGUUAAUCCUGAAUACUAAAAAAAACAACAUAAAUCGAAUGCAAGGAGAAGUGGAGAAAAAAAAAUGAAUUACAAACAUGUUUUUAGAUGGAAUCUUUUUGUUUGCUUCUAACCAACGACGUAAAAUAUCUUACCAUAGACUUGUAUUGGUAAUCUCACAGAUUUAUAAUUGGAAAUUGAAUAAACUAAUACUGAUUAUUAAAAAAAAAGCUAACAAUAACGUGUCGGUAAAAUGCGAUACGUCAGCAUUUUUUAUCAAGAGAUUCCUUUCAGAAAAAAGUGGAUAUUUGAUCUUACCGAAAUUACCCUUAGAAUCGCUCCAAAUAUUGCUCAUAAAAGUCACGUUUCUGGCUUGAAAAGGUAUGGGCUAAAAUUGUCCGAACGAAAAAUUGUCUUCUGUCGUGUAAUUCUUAGAUUCUGUCUCGUACCCUGACGAGAUGUCAAAUUUCAUGUGAAAGUCUAAUGGUCUGAGCAGCGAGCUCAAUUUGGCAGUUGAAAUGUCGUCGUUGAUGUAAAUGGACGUAAUUAAAAUAUCAUGCAUUGAAUUAAAAAAGACUUGUGAGAUACAUUUUUUCGGAUAACUGAUAUUAAUAUAACUUUGGGGUUCAAAAAGGUAAGUAUCACCUUAAAUGGUCGCAAUUCAAAACCAAAAAAAUGUCACAAAAAAUUUAGGUUAGUGAAUGGUGACAUAUAGACAAGUAUGCUGACAAAAAAGAAGAGGCAUUUAGUGCAUUCGAGACGCACUAAUCAUUUCUCAACUUUAUACACUCUAAUAAUUAUAUUCCUAAAUCGGAUCAUGGAAUACACAAAAAAAAAUAAAAAUUAUUAGUCUGUUUAAUUUCAUAGUGUUGCAAACUUUUUGAUUCACCUUUUAUUUUCUUAAACUAUUAUGUAAAUAAAUUUCUGACUAUUGAGAUAAUGAGAUGUGUUUUGAACUUGGUGCAUAUUUCCAGAUUUAAAAAUAUAUUAAUCUGGAUAAAGCACAUACUACUUUAUGCAAAGGUGAUUAAUGGGGUGAUGCAAGGAUCAUGCCAAAUCUGAUAUAGUCAAACUAUAUCAUAUGAAUUAGAUUUAUACUUUAACAAAAAAAUAAUGAAUUAGAUUUAUGUAUUAUUAUAAAAUGUAUUAGACUAUGGGUUUUGUAAAAAUCGUGGCGUCGAAUAUCAUGUUGAACAAGUCUAGAACUCCGACUUCGCAAACUGGUAUAAUAUAUGAUAUAAAAUGCAUUUCAUAGUUAUGAUUUCUAUGAUUUGUGGUCUGCAUGUAGCUUAUAAUUGAAAUUUUAUUGUUAGCAGUAGUGGUCUCCACUGGUUUUUUUCGAUUGAUUAAGAAAAUACAGCUAAAUUUUUAUAAGACAAAUUAUUUGAACUCCGAAACCUAUUUUUGAUCGUUGCCUUCAAACAACUUUGUUUUCUAAAGCGGAUGUGUUGAUAUUAGACGCGGACGUUAAAACUAUUGAAAAUUUAAUAUAGUUGUGACUGAAAGCUAUGUAAACAGAUUGUUUAUAAGAAUUAAAAUAUUUUUUUGUACCGAAGGAAAUUAAAAAUUAAAUCCCACGUCGUAAACCUGUUUUUAUUUAAUCUCAUGACCAACAAACCGUAUAUUUAAUCUAUGUUCUCCUUAGUAAGGAAUAUGGUUCAUAUAAUUUUAGUACUUCAAUUGCGUCAAAUGGGUGCCAAGUAUUUUUUUCUCCUUUUUUUCGUUGCAACUUUAUCGAAACGUGAAUUAGUUCAUCGGAGUCUUCAGCGUUAAGCCAUGAUGGUUUACUCCCACUUAUCUAACUGGAUCAAAUUAAUUUGGAAUUCUAUACAAUAUUUUCGGAUUAAUAUUAUAUUACAGAAUCUAAAAUCAACAUGUUUUUAACCCCCCAAAAAACAACUAAGAUUAUAGCAUCAGAUUGUAAUUAACGAUCUACUAUUUGCAACCGACUAAUUUUACAAUUUAUAAACAGUGUGACCCAUUAUACAAUAGCGUACAAAUAAUUUUUUAACCGUUCUCCAUAAAAAAUAUAUAUAUAACGUACAAGAAGUCUCAAAAAUCUAAAAUCCAUCGUCUGAAAUUUCUUACAUAAUUUCGUAAAAAUUAAAUUCGAAAUACAGUAUUAUAUAGUCUUAACAUAUUGUCAGAAAGAUGAUUUCUUUCGUAUGAAAUUGUUAAGGAAAUGCACCAAACACUUCACAUGAAGAAAAGGUUGUUGCCAAAUCUAUUUUCAAUUUAUGGUCAAGAGUUCGAAAGUUUCACCUAAAGUCAUUUUCUCACAUCAAACGUAGACCUACUUCCUCGGUUAAAAGAAUAGUUUAAUACUGUUCUGUUAUAUACUUAACUUGUUCCACUAACACUAUGAAAACCAUUAAAGAAGGACAAUUUAGCAAACUAGUUUUUUUUGUUUAUCAUUUUCCAUUCGAGCCAUUUUAAAAUCGAGGAAAGAGUUUUGAGAUCUCCAAAAACUUAAAUCUUGCAUUGUAUGGAAUUUUCAAUCUCAUUCUUUUGAAUAUGAAGAAAUUAAAAUGUAAAGUAAUUAUCAUCUAAACCUAUUUUUAGAACACCAAUGGAUAUAUUAUAUAUAUGUCAUCCUUUUUCUUUUUAAUUUAUGUAAAAUCAAAUAAGUGGUCCACUUUGGAGUUUUUUCUGUACCUCCACACAAUAAUAAUUACUCUUACUUCACCUAAUCGGUAAAACCGACCUCACGCAUAAAAUUACUGAUGUUAGAGGAAAAUGCUAACCAAGUGAAUAGUAUGGAAAGAAUGUUCAGAUCAGGGAUGGAUUAAGAAUAGUUAUUGAUAUGAGACAGUAAUCUCUUUGGAUUUUGUUUUAUAUGUUCAACCUAGAAUGAAAAAUGCCGAUGAAUAUUUGAAUGGAGUCACAUCUUUGUGGAAACAAAGGAUUCAGUACAUGAUGGGUAUUACUUCUAUUGGCGAUGGCAAAGUAACGUCUAGCUACUACAAAUAAUAUUUCAAGAAAAUUUUCACUAUUUAAAGUGAGAAGUUAGAAUCCAAUGAUAAUACAUUAAUGUUAUCCAACUGAAGAAAAAUGUAGGUUUUGACAUAUGUAGUCCAUAUUUGCGUCGGUUACACUGGUGAUGAUUUUUCUACCUAUUGAAUGGAUCCUAACUUCUAAGCAUAAACUAGGUGUUUGAUUCUAAAGCCCAUAUAUAAGGAAAUAUAAUUCAAGCCUAUUUACAUUUCGCAUGUAUUGGGUUUUAUUAGAUUCAAUAUUUCAAUGUCUCAAACGCUAGCAAAAAAUUAACGACAUAUGUAUAAUAUUCUUUGAACAUUUUCCACCCGUUCCAAGAAACAUGGUGUUGUUGAAAGUAAUCAGGAAUUAGUAUUAGACAAAGAUCGAAAUGCUACCCAAUGAAUCGGAAAAUUGAGUUCUUGUAGUGUUAUUAUAGUUUAAUAGUGUUUGAGACUUUAUGGGGAGCUCGUCGAAAUAGCAUAUAAGUUUGGGCUAAAUAUUACUGGUUAAAGUCUUGCCCUUGAUGCGUUUUAGACUAGGCUCAGGCUGCGCUUAUAUAUUGGGGCUAAAUACCCUAUUCACAUGUCAUUUAACUAAUACCCCGAAACCAUAUGCAUCUAGUGCAAUUUCCCCUUAUAUAUAAGAAAAAAUAAAACUCCAUAAAGUGUGUAGUUCUAGUAAAUCUAUAAUCUAUAUUACUAUAUAGUCUAAGUAUACGAUUUUCCGAUCAAAUAUAAUAAACAUGCUUGUACGCAUGUAUGUAUAUAAAUGUAUCAUUCAUAAUCUGUGUGUCCACCACAGAAAAUCAUUACAAAUCAUUCUAUAGUUAAGAAGGAAAAACCUAAACUUAAUGAUACUCGUAAGGGGCAAGGCCACAUCAGAUUAAAACUUGUUCUUGGAAUUAAUCUUGGGGAUUUUGAUCUCUAAGAAAGAGUGGUCGUCUUUGUUGGAGAGAAAAGCUUCGGAAGUUUUGGGAUCGGCGUCGCCCGGAAGCUCGACACGGCGGACAUAGCCAUAUUCCCACCACCGGCCGCUUCUCCAGUCGCUGUUGGCCACUGUUUUCUUGUUGCUGUUCCAUUUGCCACUAAUCUCCAUCACUUUUCCGGCCACGUCCACGUAUACCUGCACAUUAUUUUUUCCCACCACUAGCCAAGUACCAAAAGUUUAAUCAGUUUUUUUCUUGAACCUUCAAGAAAAAGAUUACAUCACUUAUAUUUUCCAAAUCAUUUUAGUCUUUAUAGAUUAAAUGAGUUUUUGGCUCCUUGUUACGUAGUACUUUAACCAAUUCCUUUUUUUUUCGUUUUUUAAUGGAUCUUUUAAAAACUAUUUUCACUUUUUAGUGUUUUUAUCAAAAUUGUCUAAAUCCCAUAACAUUAAACCACAAACUCUACAAUAAUAGUUUUCCAAUGGAUCCAUCAUAAGGUAUUUAUAACAUUUCUCAUUUCCUUGACGCAUACGUAAAAUUUUCAAAUAGAAGUUUUUGGUUCACAUUAAUACGGUUUUAUUUGUUGUAAUAGAGAAUUAGUUAAAGCAAAGCCAAAAAAGGUAUGUAUCCAUUUGGCAUAUUUGAAUCAAGCAUAUCUUAUUUUAUAGCCUAAAUAUUAAUUCGGAAUGAGAUCAUUUCUUCUUGGUUCGGAUCAAUCUAUCGGACUACAUUACUUUAUCAACGACGUAAUAAAACAUUAUUCAUAUUUCUCACUUGCUCAAGCUAAAACGAAAGAAUAUUUGUUUUUUGAUAAAAAACUACUACUAAAGAAUAUAAAUAGGAGAAUUGUGGCAUAAGAAAGACGUAACGCACCGGGGAGAUCUGAUUUAAGGACAUAAGCUUGAUCGGUUUGAGACCAAUCGACUCUACACUGUCCUAAGCUCCUGAGGCCGUCCAACAAAACCUCCGACUCAAACUCCCAUAAGGGAAACGCAUCCGACGGAUCAAAGUACUUCCCGAACAAGAAGGGGCUGAAAAGAGAUCCCUCGCCGAACACAGCCUUCUCCGAGCCUCCUCCGCCGCUCAAGAACCUCCGGAAAACUUCUUCGCCGAGCGGUACGCUCCAUUUUCCCGGCGUCUUGUCGUCGGUGUGGAUCUCUAGUUUAAGACUUCCACUACUACUCGUCAUGAGAGAAAUAGAGAGAGAGAGAUUGAGACGAAUAAUAGAAAAAGGAAAGUGUGUGUGUGUGAGAGAGAGUUUUGGAAUCAAGGUUUUGUUCUUAUAGUAUGAGGUUUGAUAUAGCUGAUAAAAUAGGAUAUAAAAACCUUAGUAUAUGACAAAAAAAAAAGAAAACUUACGAAUAUUUUUAUAAUAUGUUCGCAGUAAAACUAACUUCUCCAUCUAAACUCAAAAGUAUUUACAGAUGAAAGCUUAAAAUUCCACCACAGAAACUAGGUCAGACUUUUAAAACUAACCAAAAAUAUGACGUCCACGAAAGAAAUUAAUGUUUAGAUAAUCUAUAAACAUGUCCUGACUAAUCAAAAGGUUUGAUAUCAGUCAGGACAUCACACAUGAAAAUCAGAUUGACAUGAUAGGUCCAAAUUAAGUCAGAUUAACGAAGAAAAUUAUAUGAAGAUUAUGGAAAUAUAUUGGGUGCUCAAAAUAAUUUGAUGAUAAGAGAAAAAGUUGGGAAAUAUUCUUCUUUCUUUGUGACAAUACUUUAGCGUGGCUAAAGUAAAGAAACGAAUAUGUUCUCUUGACGUAGAAAUUGCUCGAAGGGUCACAAAGAAAUGUAUCUUUAUUUGCUUUGAGCCAUACCAUUUUGAUUCUUCAUCUUAUUCUAAAAAUUGAUAUUUUAUAAAAGUAUAUACAUGUUGUUUUCCUUGUAUAGCAUAUUUAUUCAACUACUAUACCAAAUUAUUUUAGAAGAAGAAAAAACGUUAUAAUUUUAUAAAGCAACAGAUAGUAUAAUAGUUGAACAUUCGUCUUUCCAACUCAUGUUAGGAUUCAAAUUUUCUUGCUGCAAUCCCAACAGCUGUUUGUUGGUCAAUGUCAACACCUGAAAUACAAGAUUAGUUUGUAUUUUCCUCACUACAUUUAUAAAAACAGAAAAAAAUGUAUAUAGUUUAUAGAAUAUUCUAGCUUUGGUCUUUUUAUCAAAAUGUUCUCACCAAAAAAUACUAAUUAGAGAGUGACUGACCUUCGAGGAAGUCGAGGCGCCAAAAGAAAAAAUGAUGGGAAAGGGCGACGAGGUAAAAAGAAGAAAAAAAAAAAGCUUCUUCUUUUUUACCCAAUACAACACUUUAUAAAAGUAUUGGGAUCUUAAUUGUCAACAAAUGUAUUACAUUUACACAUAGCUAUCGAUCACUAUAUCUGAUUUGUAAUCUUAACUUAUACUACAAGAAAGAUCGGGUUUUACAUCAGUAGAUAUCGACAAAAAAGAGCAUUUACGUCGAAUUAACGACGAAAAAAAAAUCGUCGUAAAAUAGAAAUCGUCGUAAAAUUACCAACCCAGGAAAAUCGUCAUAAUAUCGUUGAAAACUAUUCGUCGUAAACGCGACGUAAAUUUCCCAACGAAAGUACAAUGAAAUAAGUCCAUCAUAACAACGAAAUUACAUCGAUUUAACAACGAUUAGGAGACGAACAAUUUCAAUUAAGGGAAACUAAUUUUUUAAUUGUCGAUGUUAAUUCGUCGUAAAGUUUCGAUGUAAAUCCGACGUAAACAUAUUCGACGUAAAUCCAUCGUUAAAUAUUCGACGUUAGAUCGACAUAAAUUUACGGCGUAAGUCGAUUUAUAAAUUAAUUAUUUAAUUCGAUUUUAAUUUAAUUAAUAAAUUUUUAAAAUAAUCAAACAAUUAAAAAUAGAAAAAAACAAUUUAAAUUGAAAUUUAAAUUCGAAAAUAAUUUAUAAAUAAAAGAAAAAAUUUAAUACAAAUUGUUUUUUACAAAAAAUCUAAUCUACAAUGUGAUUUCGUAAUCGUCGAGGUUGAGAUCGACGUCACGAGGAGGCUCUCCGUCUUGGCUGUCCGUCGCUGCUGGACCGUCGUUUCCCGUCUGCACUACCGGAGCCGAAGACUGACCCUGCGUCUGCUGGUCCGAUGGUCCAGUACCGGAAGUACCACCGGUCUCAAAGACCCCUCGUGCUCGCUGUUGCCUCGCUCGGAUUGCGGUGGCGACCUGUGGAACCGCUUCCGCAACGAUGUCGAAGAGACCGUGCAUCUCGGUGAGCUCCUGCUUCUGGGCCACUUGCUCAUGCCUGAGAGUGGUGAUCUCAGCAUUGGCCGUAGCAAGCUCCUGGCGAAGAUGACUCGGAUCCUCCUGCGUGCGAAAUCCGGAAGCCGAGGCGGCAGGACUGUCUCUAAUAGAGCCCAUCCCUAAGGUUCGGCCCUUCUUCUUCGGAGCAACCUACAAAUGGAAAAUAAAAACGUUAAUUAUUUAUUAAGUAAUAAAUAUAAUAAAUUUUAAAAAAAUUGAAAUAGAUCAUACCUCCUCGAAAAUCUGGUCUUGCUCAGCGACGGUCAACGGUACUUGGAUAGUAUCGUCAGGUGUGGUAUGGGUCUCCCGCUCGGCGAUCCGCUGCAUAGCGGCAUUGUAGAUCUCUUUUGACCGAGCGUCGACAAAGCUCCCGUCCCUCUUCCGGUGAGUGGUCUCGAAGAGCUUCGUCAUUGGAGGUAGUUCUCCUCCGUUCUCCUCGGCCUACCAAUUAAUAAACAUUAAUCAAAAAUAUUUAAUAAAUUAUAGCAAUAAUUAAAAGUGAAAUAAUAAUGAAAUAAUUUAUAUUUAAUUACUUACCAUCAUGAGACGUCUUCCCGCAAAAGAUAUUUGGCCAGAAGUGUGCAGAGUCACUAACUUCUGACCGUUAGGACCGACCCGGUUUCUAACGGCCGAACACUUAGCCGCAGUGGUUUGGACAUGCGGGUCCAGCCAAUACGCCUUCAACCCGUUCCAACAGAAAGUGGACAUGGAGCUCGGCUUUGCGUCGUCUCCAUCGGUCUCCCACUUCCGCUUCCAAUCGGAAACGGUGUUGACUAGGCGUUUCUGCGCCUUCAGCCGGAAAGCUUCGCGGACCGUCUCGUUGAUCCCGAUGUCCCAGUUCCACCGUUGCUGCAAAAGAAAACAAAAAAUUAUAUAAACAAUAUAAAAGUAAGAUUAAUUAAAUUUAAAAUAAUUUAAAAUGAUAUAAAUAAGAUUUAAAAAACAUUACCGCGAAGCACUUGUACCAGGUGUCGAACGUCUCUUGCGACACCUUGCUCCAGUUGUAGUGCGGCUCAACGAAAUGACUCUUAAUUGUGUCGGAAACGCUCCGACCGACACAAUUAUCCAAGUCAAAUCUAUGAAACCAAAAAAAAACAUUACAUUAAUAUUUAAGAAAAUUAAAGCAUUAAUUUAAAAUAAUAUAAAAAACAAAAAAUUUUACUUACCAAUAAGAGCCUGGUUCCGCUUUUCCGGGAACCAGACGUCGUAAAGCCCCCCGUCCCGGUAGGGCUAGUAAGUCCUAUUGGGCAUACGGAUGAGGAGGGUGGGCCACCGGUUCGGGAGCCGGCGGUGGAGGUGGUGGUGGAGGUGGUGGUGGAGGCGGUGGUGGAGACUGCUCCGCUACGGUAUUCAGAACCUGGGAGGCUCCAGAAGAUGAAGGGACAUCGGUCCCGGUGUUUCCCGAGGCAGACACCCAGGAAGAGUGUCCGUCUGCCAUAAAGUUUAUGUAGUGCGUCCUCCGUCGAGUCAUCGUCUGCAAAACCGGAAAAUUUUUAUUUUUGAAAUUACAAAUUAAUUUUAAAUUAUGAUCCUAAAUCUAACAAACACCCUAAAUCCUUAAUCUAACAAAUUCCGAUCCUAAAUCUAACAAAUUCCGAGCCUAAACUAAUUUUCGACCUAAACCAUUUGUAUUUCUAAACUAAUUAAAAAUAAAAAUUAGAUUUUAAGUAAAAAAAAAAAUUACCUGAUUUUUUGGGUUUGCAGGGAAGCAACGAAGUGAGGAGGAAGCAGGGAGAGGAAGAAGUUGAAUGAGCGACGAAAUGAGGAAGGGGUGCUUCCAUAUAUAUAGAAUUUUUAUUCGUCGUAAAUCCGACGUAAACAUUACGACGAAUUUACGACGAAUUUACGACGAAAUCGUCGUAAAUCCGUCGUAAAGCUGCAACCGUACAACAAAGCGAAUAAGACACACACACGUGGCUGUAUCUGGACUUUGCGACGAAUUUACGACGAUCAGGGUUAUUCGUCGUAAAAUCAUCGUAAAAUUACGACGAAUUUACGACAAAUCCUUAUAAAUCAUAAAAAUUAUAACGGUUAUGUAUUUACAUAUCGUCGUAAAAUCGUCGUAAUAUUACGACGAUUUUACGAUGGUAUGUACAAAAAUGAUGAAUUACAAAAAUUGAAACACCCAUAAGCACAUACAAGCAUGCCUAUACAUGCUAAAUGUGGUCUGUAUAAGUUUCUAGCAUGUUUACAUAACAUAAUAAAGAAUUUAGUUUGAUCUAAGAUAAAUUCUUACAUCUUCUCUAAAUGUAUAUAACACCUUAAGAUUACUUGAUAAACACAUAUAUGUCAAAUUUUGAAUUUUUUUUUUUUGUUUAGAAAGUUGUUUUACCUUAUGAGAUGGUAAGCCAUAUCAUUAUCUUCAUCUAAAUCCCCCCCGAACCCAAGAAAAGAUUGAUUAUAAGAUUUAGGGGUUACAUUUCGUCGUAAACUCGAUGGUAUUUUACGACGAAUUUACGACGAAUGGGUGUGAUUCGUCGUAAAUUCGUCGUAACAUAAACCACAUAUCUACAAGUUCUUUAAUCUUAUACUACAAAACCUUAUAUAAUACAUUAGUUUACUCAGGAAAAUGCACCCAAAAACCAUUCUGUGAGUUGGGAAAGCUAAACCCUAUAGGGUUUAGGGUUUACAUUUUACGACGAAUUUACGACGAUUUAUAAAUAAUCGUCGUAAAUUCGUCGUAAUAGUCCACAUAUGUCCAAGUCAACACUUAAGCAAAUUUUCUUUUCAUUAAUUGUUUUUCAUUUUUUAAACAUUUAAAUUUAAACAAAUUUAUCAAAUUUGACAAAUGUUACAUUUAAACGUUCAAAGCAUGCAAUUAUAUAAAUGCCAACAUCAUACUUAGUUAGUCUUCAACAUUUUCCUCGUUCUCCUCAUCAUCAUCGUCAUCAUCACUGCUUGUUUGAAAUUCGUCAGCACCUUCUUCUGUUUCGUCCCCAUGUAGAUCUUCAACUUCUCGAUUACGUGGAUCAAUUAAAAGAACAUUUUCUUCAACAUCAGGUUCUAUAAUGUCGACACAAUCAUCUUGUUGCAUUGGCGGGAGAUCUACACCAUCAAUUAUACCCCUUGGAGCAACUUUGACAACCGCCAGCCAUGAAAUUCCCGUACUCCAAACUCGAGGAUAUGGAACAAAGGUGACUUGUUCUGCUUGAGAUGCAAGUAUAAAAGGCUCGAACUUAUUGUAUCGCCGAGAUGCGUUUACAUCUACCACUCCGAAUUUGUUAAUAGGCACUCCACGACCUACCGUAGGAUCAAACCAAUCACAUUUGAAAAGAACAGUUUUCAUUCUUACUAAUCUGGGGUAUUCCACUUCAAUUAUCUCUUUGAUGAUCCCAUAAAAUUCUACUUCACCUCGUACACAAACUCCAUAGUUUGUAGUUGCCCGUUGAGUGCCAUGACUAUAAGUAUGAAAAACAUAGCCACGUGUAAAAUACAUAGCUGCAGUAGUUAUCUUCGAAAUAGGACCUAGGAGCAACUCAUGAAACCAUACUGCAUAUGUCAUGUCAUCAUGCUCGACUUGACUUUUUAACCACAAUGCAUAAUGUUGGUCUUUUCGCUUGUUAAUUUCAUCUUCUGAAACACCGUCAAUGCAUUCUCGGACUUGACUGACGAAAGUGCUGAAAUUUGAAAACAUUGUUAAGGACAUGAUAACCUCCCAUGCGUUGUCCAACCUGAUAGCAUUCCGUAUGCCGAGAAAUCGCUUAUUGUCCACAUAAGCACCGCUCGCAUCGUAAAAUUUUUACCACUUGAACAGUCAUAUGUUCGUACUCCAACAUGCCACAACUGGUUUAACUCAUGUAUGAGUGGUUGCAAAAACACAUCAAGGGCCCGCUUCGGGUGAUUUGGACCAGGGACUAAUAUACUUAGAAACAAAAACUCUCUUUGCAUGCACAUAUCUGGAGGAAGGUUAUAUGGUGUAAGAAUCACAGGCCAUAAUGAAUAUUGCCUACCAGACAUACCAAAUGGACUAAACCCGUCAGUGCAAAGACCAAGAUAAACAUUUCGCUUAGACCUAGCAAAGUAUGGAUGUACGGUGUUAAAAUGUUUCCAAGAUUUCCUGUCAGACGGGUGAGUCAUUUUGCCAUCUAUUUGUGAAUGUUCUGCAUGCCAUCUCAUCGACGCAGCUGUCCGUUCAGAUUGAUAUAAUCUUUUUAACCUAUCAGUGAUAGGAAGAUACCACAUUCGUUGGUAAGGAAUCUUCUUACGCCCACCAAUUUGCGGUCUAUAUCUUGGCUUUUGGCAGAAACGACAUUCUUCAAGCUUCUCAUCAUCUCUCCAAAAAAGCAUACAAUUAUCAACACAAACAUCAAUCAUCUCAGAAGGCAAUCCAAGACUAAAAACCAGCUUCUGAAUUUCAUAAUACGUUUCAGCAGCCAAAUUAUCAUCUGGAAAAUACUCUUUAAUAAGAUCUGCCCAAUCGUUCAUGCAAACUUCAGAUAGAUUAUGAUCAGUUUUUAUUGUCAUCAUCCGAGCUGCCAAUGAUAAUUUUGAUAAACCUUCCCUACAUCACUCGUACAGAGGCUGUUUUGCUGCGUUUAACAUAUAUAAAAGCGUUUCGCAUCUGCAUUGGGCUCCUCAACAGUAUCAGCAUGUGUUUCAUGAAAUGCAUCAGUAACCAUUUCAUGCAUCCUAUCAUGAUCUUCACCCUGAACUUGACUACUUUGAUAAUCAUUGGACGCUUCAAAAUCCACAUGUUCUUGAUGAUUACUACUACUCCGUGCAGCCAUCUGACCACUACUUUGACCAUAUCCCUCUCCAUGCUGAUACCAAAUAAAGUAUUGGGGCAUGAACUCUCUAUUCAAUAAAUGCUGCCAGACAGUGUCAAUAGGAAUAUGUUUCCUAUUUUUGCAUUUCACACAAGGACAAUACAUUUUGCCGCUUUCAAUUACAGUUUGCAUAAGGCCGACUUGGUACAUGAAUAUUUCCAAUCCGUUUUUGAAGUCUUCAGUCAACGACCCAUCACCAUUUUUGGGCGUAUACAUCCACUUUCGUAGAUCGUAUAUAGAUAUUUCAAAAACAAAUAUUUGACUUUUUGUUUUUGAAAUUUGAUAUAAAUUUCAACUACUAAAAAUUUUACUUAAACAUUCAAAGACUCAAAAAAUUUGUGUCUUUAUAUGUUUUUUUAGGUUGAUGGAAUAAUGAGAGAAAAAAGGGUAUAUAUAGAUUUUUUUGUUUGGUUACCAACAUAUUACCAUUGCAUAUUUACAUCAAAUUUACGUCGAAAUAAAAUUUACAUCACAUUUACAUUGAUUUUACGUCAAUUACAAGAUAGAGGACAAUUAGUCGUAUUAUCAAUGUUAAAUAUUACGACAAUAUUACGACGAAAUAAAAUUUGUUCUUCAUUCGUCGUAAUAUCGUCGUAACAUUACGACGAUUUUACGAGGGUCAUUUUUUACGUCGAAUUUACGAUGAAAUUUUUGAUCGUCGUAAAUACGACGUAAUGUCGUUCGUAAAUUUACGACGACUAAAAAUCGUCGUAAAUAAUUUGACGGAAAAGCCCCUCAUUCUUGUAGUGUUAUAUAUUCUCUACGUGCAUUCUCCCCACCGCAAUAUUAGUGAACUUUGGCGGCCAAAGGUUCCCUUAGUAAAUAAGUGUAUGCAAACUCAUUCAAUUUAUGCAUUUGAAUUGAGUGUCCCGGUUCCAAUGAUAAAUGGAAAAAGAUUGGUUUCUGAAUGAAUCUACAAAUUACUCUUACAACCAAAAAUAUGAAUUGAAAUAGGAAAAAUGAAAGGAUAGCGUAAAUACAGUCAGUAGUGGCACAAACUCAACAGCGAUGACAAGUAAAUCGAGAUUCGAGACAAUUUGUAUCAGUCUUUAUUUAUUUUAAUCUUAACUCUUUGCUUUCCCUAUAUAAAUUUGACUACCGAUGAGAGAAGGUCCAUGCAUCAGCAUCAUUCAUGCAUGCAUUAAUGCAUUUCUCGUCAUAUCUUCAAAAUGGUUGAAGAAUAUAAUAUUUGUCAUCAGAGUUUAUGAAAAUUGUGUCACGCGUUAAUCUUUGGAUAUUUUUCUUUCCACUAAGUCCUAAUCAUCAUUAGUUACACAACUUACAACGUAUAAAUUAGAAAAAACAACUUUUGAAAGCCUUUAGUUCCAAAAAAUUAUAAUCAUGAAUUAGAAAAAGGCUUUGGAAAUGGUUAAUUAAAAUAAUUUGUUCCGAGUUACUAGAAUUUUACUUACAAUGUUUAAGAUAAUAGAUAAAUAUUCGUGAAAGUAUGUAAGAAAAUCAUGUGGCAUUUAAUUAUUAUCAUCUAAUAAGACUAAUAUCUAUGACUCAAUAUGUAUUUACUUUUUUUCUUACCUUGAGAUAUUAAAUCACGAAAAAGAAAACAAAUUAUCCAAUAUAUUAAUAACUCUGCGUAAUCCUCGCGUGCUUGAGUUUUGAGGAAAAAAUAGGGACAAUUCUGACAAAGAAAAUGAACGAAAAUGCUUAGGAGAAUUUUGUAUGAACCUUGAGAGCUAAUUUCUCCGCGAAUUUUUCUCGUCGACUUUUCUCGGAAAAAAAAGGUUGAAACUUUUUUGGUCUCCCUGGUCAAAAUAUUGGUUUGGUUGAGCGCACCGACGACAAUCGCAUUGAGCUUAUUGUCAAAUUGGAUCUGGCCGCAAUCAUUAGCACCAACUCUUUCGCUUUUGUGCUGUCUCUUGUUUUCUCGCAACGUGUAUUGAUCUGGAGGCAAAUGUUGAAGCUUUAUUGAAUUGGUCUUUCAGGGAAAUUGCAUCGAAGUCAGCUCCAAAAUUCUAGAAUUUCGAUCAGGGUUGUUGAUUGUUUCUGUUAAAGUUUCGAUCUUGAUCAAAUUUCAGCAAAAGGGUCUACAUUAACAAAAAAAAGAAAGCUGUACUAUUUAUUGGGUGAUUUGAUUUAAAAGCAUAUUAGCCUUUUGAUUACGCCGUUGUUGUUGGAUUCUUUUGGAGUAUCUGAUGAAAUGAGAAGCAAUAGAUAUGCUUGGAAUGAUUCGAGGAGGAAUGUGUUAUCAUAAUUGGGCUUGUUUGGUUGUCUGGUUGACUCUGCUUUCUGGGUUCUUGGUGAUAACAUUGGAUGGGAAUUCAGAAAAAGAUGAGGCUUUUCUUAGUCAUUUCAAGGCUCCAUCAACAGGGCAGGUCAAUGAGCAAAUGGUAAAUAUCGUCUUUUGCAUUUCAAGCUUGUAUGAUUCUAUUUUGCAUCAUAACUUACUGUCAUAUCUGAUGGAUUUAUCUGUGAGGGUUUAAAAUUGUAUAAGCUAGGAGAUUCUAUAGCUCUAUUACUCUGUAGUAUAUUUUGAAGGCGAGAUUUGAAGGACAGUUGCCUGUUUCUUGCUUAAAGUCCGGUUUUAUGGACUAAGAUUGCAUUUUCUUUUAUGGUUUUGGUUCGUAUUCCUUGGAGGAAUCUAGAUAGUCUGAGAAAGAAAAUCAAGAUCAUUACUGUAUCCUGCCUAUAGAAGAAAGCCUGUGGUUUUCGAAUCUGUGUCAGUCAUGUAAUAUUGCUGCCAUUGUUUUCAGUCCAUGCUCGUCACUAUCUUUGGUUUUUUUCGUUUGUAUGAAGACAUUUUUAUCGUCUGUUAAGUUUGUAUCAAAUUGAACGAAACCUCUAGGUUUGUAGCUUGAAGUGUCUGAUUCUGAUAGCAAUCACUCACAAGCUAAAAAUAUGGAAAGUAAGAGAUUUGGGUUGACUGAUGAAUAAUUGAUUGUGAGAGAAUAAAAGGCAUUGAUGAGAGUUUUCCAAAUCUGUUAGUCAUGAGUUUUUCUAUAUAAUAAGCUCUUGCAAGAGCAGUAGGGAUAUUCUGAUAGCAAUCAAACACAAGCUAAAAAUUCGGUUUUGAUUGAAACCGAAUGGAGCAAGAGUCAUGUCUCUUGUAUUUCCUUAGUUUUUUUCUUUCUAAUAGUCGGUCUCGAACUGUGUUGGAAAGAGUUGAGCUUUACGUGCCCAAUGUGAUUGGAGGUAAGUCAAAAAUUAUCUGUAGCAUGUGCCACUUUCCUCCAUCACAUUCGGCACGUAAAUGUCGACUCUUUCCAACACGGGCCCAGGCUCUUUCUUGUACAAUAGUUUCAAGCCUCAGUUUCUGAUUCUCCAUAUGUAACUACGCUAUUCAUUUUUUUUGGUAGCUAGUAUGUAUAAUUUAAAAGAUCUUGUAGACUUUAUCCAGAUAUGAGUUAUAGCCUGUUUCCUGCUGAAAUGUGUUUAGGUUUUAUAUGCUAAGAUUGCAUUUUUGGUUUUGAUUCAUGCUCCCUAUAAGAAGAUUAAGAUUAUUCCAGAACGCUUAUAUACUUCUUACAAAAUAGUCUGGAUACGUCAUUCGCAAUCAUGCUUGGAUUUACAGUUGGCUGUCUCUUAGUUAAUGAUGAUAUG
Molecule: long non-coding RNA, 51299 nt
Filed under: Eutrema salsugineum
Lineage: Eukaryota; Viridiplantae; Streptophyta; Magnoliopsida; Brassicales; Brassicaceae
Description: long non-coding RNA (ESAL_LNC001169)
Source: RNAcentral